GAGAGAGAGAGAGAGAGAGAGAGAGAAUAACAAAUGCACAAAUAUAAAUGCAAAUGCAGAUAUUUGAAAAACUUAAAACUUUGAAUUUAUAAGUGUUGUUACUAAGACAAUGGGUUAUCAUAUUAUUUUUAGGAUUUUUUUUGUUUUAUAAGUAUGGCAGUUUAUUAUUUUUUUUUUCAACAUAAUAUACAUCUAAAAAUCAAAAGCUAAACAAGUAUGCAAAAUUAUAUCAUACAGGUUUGCAAAUUAAAUCCCAACUGGAAAACAACAACCCAUGCCUAAUGGACCAUUAUCCGUGAUUCAUCCUUGUUGUAUAAAAUAUAUAGAAUAUAAAUGAAAAUUCAUGGUUAAUACAUACAACCAUCAAACUUGCAUCAAGAGUGGGCUGAUAUAUGCACUCCCCCCCCCCUUCUUCUUUUUUUGCUUUCAUCCCAUUCCUAACACCACCUCCACUACACUAAAUACAAUGAGCAUGGAUUGAUGAGGAAACACCAAUGAUUUUGAUGCACAGAAGUAGAGAGCAGCACUUCUACACAAACAGUAAAGAAUUGCAGAAAGACAUGGUGAGUAGCUUCUUGUGUCCUAUCUAUCCACCAGCUUUGCUAAUGCCCCCCCCCCACCCCCACUCAGAACCCUAUUCUACAGACUUGGAACAGGACAUGUGAAGAAAGUAUGCCUAUUUGUCUAUGUGUCACCUGCAACGUACAUCAAAGCUCCACCAUAUUUACUGAUCAAACUACAUCAAUAUCCAUAAUUAGUGUGUAUUGCACUAGUCGGAUAUUGGUGUUGAUAUUGAUAUGCAGAAUGCAGCCUGAGGAAGAUCCAACAAUUGGGUUUCUAUGGAACAAAACAUCUGAGGGAGUGACACAAUGCAGGGAUUCUUUUGAUUCCAUGCUUUGCAAAAUAGAGUGAUAAACACUAAUUAUGGAUAUUGGUGUAGCUAUACAUGCAUAUAUAUAUAUAUAUAUAUAUAAUCCAAAGGAAAGGAGGUAGGAGGUGUGACUAGUCAGUGUGGAAUAGUGUCCAAUCCAGAGUUCAAAGGUUUGCUUGAAGAUAUGCAAGGGUUGAGCCAAGGAUCAAGGAAGUUUUGUUUUUGUUUUUAUUGUUUUUUUGUUAUAUUUUUUACCCUUAUUGUGUGUUGAAGUUCAGGGUGGAGCUUUGAAGUGCUUGGGGACCUGCACCACCACCAGUUUGUUGCUUCUCCAAAAGUCACACCCCAUGCUUCUCAUGCCCCAGCUUCAAAGCCCCCUUACAGGCACUUCAAAUCAAACAGAAUUAGGGUCUCUAUGAACCAAACCCCAGGUGGUGAAAAAUGUGGACGAACCUCAUCUAUUAGAUGCGACAACCCUGCUGACAGCUCACAACCCCCUCUGCAGACAUCACCUCAACAAACACAUUGGUUUAAUUUUCUUUGUUUUCUUGUGUGUAAAAGCUUUCACGUAAUUAUUAAUAUAAACUCUCCACACAAGUAUUUGAAAAAAUAUAAAUAUGCAAAUAAAUAAAAUAAUACUAUUAAAUAAUGAAUAAAAACUUGUGAGAGACAAACAGUGAGGGAAUCAAUGAAGGAUACCAACAAGCCCAUAUGUCAGCCAAAUAAGUUUACUUCCAUUUUAUCAAUCAUAAUGUUAAGUUCCAUUCAUGCAUGAUUUAUUUAUUUAUUUUUGAGAAAUAGAGUAUUGAUUGAUACUCAAGGGGUGCGAGCACUUAAUGAGAGAUGUUGUUAAGCACAUUAAUUCACACAGAAUGUUUUUUGUGCUUGACAAUACAAAAGUUUACAUUAAUAUGAAUGAAUGUAUGUGUGUGUGUGUGAAUAUGGAUAGAAUGAGUUUAUUGAUAAUGUGGGUUAGAAGGACAAGUACACUAAUUGGCUGAUUAUGCUCUUUGUUCCCCCAUCGCUCCCCAUAUGUUCCCCUUGCACAAGGGCCCCAUUAAAAAUAAGAAGGCAAAGGCCACAUGGGGGGAUCUCUAAUGAAUGAAGGAGGAGAACCACUUGAAGCCAAACUCAAAAGCAUUGUUCAUUAGUUGGCCCAAACUAGUAAAGAGCUGUGUCCCCCAUGCUUUGCACUCCUGUUCCCCAUUGUACAAUGAUCCCCCCCCCCCUCCUAGGGUCUUCAAUGCCCCCCCUUCUCCACCUUCAUAAUUGGCCCAGAUAUGGUUGUACAACGUUCCUUUUGACUUCCAUUUUUUCUUACACACAUUCAGUCAUAACAGGGCCAGAUAUUACCAAAUCAUAUGUCCAAGUUUUUCAUUGCAAUUAUACAUGUUUAUAUAUAUAUAUAUAUAUAUAUAUAUUCAAAAAAUAAUUAAAGCAUGGGUGAAGAUAUAUGCCAACUUUGAGAUUGUGGAUGAUGCAAGAGUGUGAAGAGUUUUUAUUUGAUUUUUUAGAUUUUUUAAGAUUUUUUUCCCUUGAAAUAUACAUAUUUUUUUUUCAAUAACAUGAAUGGCCCUCUUGAUUUAGUUAUUGAAGGCCUGUGUUAUUUGGCUAUUAUGUUGGUAUUGCAAUUGCUUGGGUUGAAAAUGUGGAGGAGAGGUGAAUUAAACAGUUGAUGUUUUUCCACAUCUCUACUGUACAAAAAGGAAACCUUGUCACAAUUGUACAUUGUGAAGUCAUGAAAGUAAACAAAGCACAAAUCAUUUUGACUGUGGUGCAUCAUGUCAGUUGUGAUUGUUCCUCAUAUUUAUUUCAUUGUUUCAUGAAACAUGUCAAAGUUUCUUAUUGUUGUAAUAUUCUAUUUUAAAGUUAAUUGAACUUUUAAAGUAAAAAGUGAAAAAAUACAUGUCGAUUGAAAACUGAAAUGAUUCAAGAGAAUUUGUAAUGGAAAUAUUAAAAACAUCCAUGUUGUCAUACAUACAAAACCCACUAAUUAAUGUGUGUAUGUGUGUGCAUGUGUGUGUAUACACACUUACCCUUGUUGGUAUGUAGUAUUUAACCAAAAAUAAAAUUGUGCACCAUUUAAAAGACAUUGACCUUCUCACUAAGCCUCAAUAAUUACAAUGCUACUAAAACAUUUGGGUACUCUGUUUUCUCUACCAAUGAAAAUCGUGAAAAUAUAUUAAAAUGACAAUUCCAAUAAUAUUUCUUCUAGUUGAUGAAUGAGCCAAAGGGCAUGUGACAAAUUGAAGGCCAUGACAGCAAAGAGUUGGACAGCCAAAGAGGGUCACAAGCUAACUCACCUUCAUCAGCAAACUCAUUCCCACCUCCAAACAAAACAACAAAUAAAUGGCAAAAAACAUAACAGUAGAAAAAAGAAGAAGAAAAUAAUAGAAUAGCAUAGCAUAGAAUAGAAUAGAAUAGAAGUGGGAGGUGGGUAAGUUGAAGGCAUCAGUCCUCAGGUCCUGAAGGGAGGGGAGGGAGGAGAAUAUUCCACGGACAUGAGUCAAAAGGAUGGAAUAUUCCAUCCCUUGUAGUAGUAAUAGUAGUAGUAUUAAUAUUGAUGGGGUGAAGAAAAAAUGGAAGAGAGGGGCUCAAUAGAGUCCACCUGCAUUGAAUUUCCACCCCUAAAACCCAAGCCUUUAGAUAUGCAGAUACAAGAGGGCCAGAGAGCAUGUAAGAGAGGGAGGUGUUGCACAAGAGGAAUAGAUUUGGGAAUUCCUUUUCGAACAAUGUGUGUGGGAUUUUUUUUUUUGCUAUGGAUUAUACUUCUACUAGCAAUCUAUUUUGACACGACAUUGUUGUUGUUGUUGUAUUAUUAACAUUGGAAGAUUGAAAGUAGGUGUUAGGGCUGCAGCAAAGUGGAGAGCAGUCCUUGGAGAACAAAUGACCCUUGAGACUGUAUCAUGUGUCAUCUCCUCAGAGUACAAUGUGAAAGUUCUUGUUCACAUACUGCCUUGAAUCUUCUUCUUAUGAAUAUACAUCUAAUAUUCUUAUGAUUACAUAAAUCAUACAGUAUACUUCUAAAAAAUAUUAAAAUUUAUCAAAUAAAUUAAUAAUAUAUUAUUAUAUCCUCGAUCUUAAAAAUUAAUAAGAGAUAACAUAAUUAUACAAAAAAACGAAAGUCAUAAAAUAUUACAGUACAUUCAGUAAAAAUAUAGUUUUUUAAAAAUUGGUGCAGUAAUGUGCACUAUAAUUUGAUUUGUUAUGAUUAUAUAUAUAUAUAUAUAUAUAUAUAUAUAUGCUAAAUUUUCUUAAUGUAAAGAUUUUUUUUGUGCCACUCUAUAUAAAUCACUUUUCUUGUCCCUUUUAUACAUAUAUAUAUAUAUAUAUAUAUUCAAUAUUCAAUCACCACAGACAAUAUCUUGUUUAAUGGAUUUUCUUAAAAUAAUAAUAUUUUAAAUCUUGAAGACUAAAUCUUAUAAAUCAUCUUCACAAUCUUAUUAAGAUUGAUAUACUUGAUAUUUUAUAUUCCAACUAAUAUUUUAUACAAGUUAUUAUAAUUUAGCAUCACAUAUUUCUUAUUAUCAUUUCUAUAGUUUUAUUUAUUUAUUUUUAUUUUAAAAUAUAAAUAUUAUAAAAUCAUCCAAAAAUUUUAUUAUUUUCGUUUUUCCAUAUUUAAUUAAGAAUUCUUAAAGAAGGAUUUUAAAAUAAUUAUUUUUAAAAAUACUACAAAUUAAGUUAGAAAACUACAAGUUGAAUGAUGAUUGCUAUGUUUACUUGGAUGCAUUCAUUGAAAUACUUCAAAGACUCAAAUACAUAAGUAAUUUUUCUUGUAGGAAAAAAAUUAAACUUUAAUAAUUUGUUUAUAAAAAAUUUAUGAUUAUAUAAUAAAAUAAAAUAUAUUUAGUUAAUAUAUAAAUAUUCCCAUAAAAUAUUUUUAUGGUUAAUACAUAAUAAGUUACUAAGAAAAUUGAUGAAUAUAAUUUGAAACAAGUAGAACUUUUAUAGCAAAACUAAUGAUAUUUAAAUUAUAUAUAUAAAAAAAUGACUAUAAUAUAAAUCAUCAGUGUAUAUCUUCUAUUUAUAUAUAUAAGAUUUUCAAAGUAAGAUCUCAUCUUAUUCUACAUAUGUUCUCCAUAAAUUUUUAUAUAUUUUUGUUCAUUAUAUAUAUACUGAAUUUAUCUAGCAUAAUAAUCUUAUAAUAUAUUACUAAAAAAAUUAUUAAGCCAAGGUAUUUAUUCUCAAUUGUUGUCAAUCUUAAUCAAUUCUAUUUUAUUUCAGUAACAUAAUUCAAAUAUUUUAGUAGCUUAUUUUAUUAUAUUUCAUUAUUACAAUAUAUAUAGUAUUUAAAAAAAAAAACAAUGCUCUUAAAACGAAUAACCUCUAGUAAUUAAUCAAAAUAUUGAUAAACAAGUUUGUUCUAUGGUGCAUAACUAGUACUCCUUAAUGUCAAUGAUUAAAUCAUUUUUAUUAGAUUUCAUUAAUUAAAAUAGCAACAGCAACAUGUUUAGAUUGUAGAGCCUAGCAAGAAUAAUUCCUAUCAUUUUUUUACUGUGCUCUCUAUAUUGACUAAUAAUCUAUGAUAAUUAAUAAUUUUAAUUACAAAAAAUAACUUUAAGUAGAAGAAAUAAAAAAUAUAUAUACAUAAAUCAUUAUGCCUCUAUUGUAUAAAAUAUCAAACGAUGUGUUGAAGAAUGGACAUUAGGUUUUGUGCGUAUUAUUCUUAAUUAUGAUUUUGAUAGUAUAAAAUUAAAUUAGACUAUAUAUUUAUAAUUAUAUACAAAAUUUUAUGACAUGUCAAAUUUUAAAAGCUUGUGUUAAAAAAAUUGGGAUAUUAUAUAAUUCUUAUUGCUAUCUAAUCACUCAUAAGUGUAUCUAAACACAAAGUCAUAAGAAUUUAAAUUUAUGUUUGAUGAGUAUAAAUGGUCAAUUGUGGUCAAAAUAUUGUGUUAAUGAUUUUAAAGAGCUUAUAAAAAUAAAAACUUGGUUUAUGAAGAAUUUAAGCAGUAUUACAACUUAGAUGCUAACAUUACAUGAUUUUUUUAGAAAUAUUAGCUAAGGUUCUAAGUAUACCAAGUUGGAAAAAUGAAAUAUGUUUAUAUUUUGUAUCUCAUUAUAAAAAUUAUUUAUGAUAAAAUACUAGAGUAAAAAACUAAUAUAUAAGGCUAAAAUAAUAUAAUCUCUCUCUCUCUCUCUCUCUCUCUCUCUCUAUAUAUAUAUAUAUAUAUAUAUAUAGAAGUAUUUCAUACAUUAAAAUUAAAAUAUCAGAGUGAUGAAUAGAAAAUCUUCAUUCUAUGUUAUGUUUAGAAUUUGUAUGUGCAUCACAAAUAUUUGAAUAAUUAAUCAAAUUAAGAAUAUUUUUUAAUUUAAUAUAUUUAAGGGUAUUCUGUUAUUAGGAUUUAAAUUAAAAAAAUAAAAUGUCAUACCUACACAAGAUUAUGUGAAUUGUUUUAUGAAUAUAUUGGUUUAGAGAUUCUAUGAUAUUUAUAAUUUUCUACAAGGAUUAUAAAUAAUAAAUAUUUAUCAAUAUACAAUCAUAUUCUUAUUUUACUUAAGACAUGAUAUUCUACAUAAUUAAUUGAUAGACAUUAAUGUAUAGUUUAACAAGUAUAUAAAUACUUCAAGCAAGUUUUUUACAAAGACAUUAAUUUAUAUAUUUCAGCAAGAAGAACACUACUUAUGUCUACAUUAUAUGAUAUUUUAUUAAUAUUUUAGACAUUACAUGAAAAAUAAAUAGUUUUAAAAUUUAAAAGUAAAAAAACAUACCUUAGUUUAUAUUAUCUUAUAAUAUAUUGUCAAAUAAAAUAUAUACUUAUUUAGUUCUAAAAAUAAAACAUCUUGAAUUAUCAUGUUACCAUACUUAAAUGUCAAAAAAUUCAAACAUGUUUAUAAAACAUAAGUUUAUAAAACAUGUUUAAAAAAUUCAAACAUGUUUAUAAAAGUAUUAUUGAAUAUAAAAAAAUUAUAAAAAGAAUCCUUUAAAUUUUAAAAAAAUAUUUUUAUUUGAUUUUUAAAAAACUAAAAAAUCAUUAAAUAUUAGAUAUGAAUAUCUUAUGUUCCAAAUUCUUUUAUAUAUAUAUAUAUAUAUAUAUAUAAUAUUUUUAUUAAAGUAUUUAAAUUUAAUUGGAUUAGAUCAAAAUUUCAACUCUUGUUUUAUAAUUAGAAUGUAAAUCAAUUAUUUGAUUGAAGAAGUUAGAAGAAAUAGGAUGAAUAUGAGACAUUUUUAAUUCCUUUAAAUUAUUAUCAAUUAAAAAUAAUAAAUUAAUUAAAUAAUUCAAUUUGGUUUAUAAAAUAAAGUUAGUAAUGAAAAUUUAUAAUAGAUAUUUAUAUAUAAUAGAUAUUUAUAUAUAAUAGAUAUUUAUAUAUAUAUAUAUAUAUAUAUAUAUAUAUAUAUAAUAUACAUAUGAAUAUGAAUUUUGUAAAUAAAUAUUUUGUAAAUUUGUAAUUGGAAUUAGAUUAUUCUUUAUUAGUUAUAAAUAGAAACAUUUAUUAUUUAUUUUAACAUAUUUAAAUAAUAUAUAUUUUUUGUAAUAUAUAUAUAUAUAUAUAUAUAUAUUAGUUCAUGUAGAUCAUUAUAUAUAUCUUGAAAAUAAUUUUCAUUAAUGUUUUUCAUAAAAAGGAAUCAUUGUUAAAUUAUUUUUGUACUUAUUGUGAAUAGAAUUUAUUAGUCAAUUAUGAUUUAUUUUAAUUAUUAUAACUAUUAUUUGAAGAGAUCUUAAUGUUUUUGAAUGUCAUUUCAAAGUUACUAAGGUUACCAAGAAACACUGCAGUAUUACAAGUUCAUUAAAAUAUAUUAUUGUUUUAGAAGAAAUAUUACUGAGGUUAGUUAGGGCUAUAAUGAGAUGUUGAUAAUGCUUGUCUAAGAUAAUCAUUUAAUUAUAUAUAAAUUUAAUAAAUUUAGCUGAGAAAAUAAAUUUCAUUUUAUUAAUAUAUAUUAGUUUUAAGUUUUUUUUUUUUGAAAAUUGAAUAUUAAUUAGUAUUCAAAUCGUAUAAUGCAGUGGGAUUGGUUAUAAAGUUAUUUUAUUUAUUUUAACAUUAUCUCAAUAUUUAUUUUAUAAUAUUAUUUUAAUUUAUUUUAAUUAUUCUGAAUUUAUUGUUUCUAAAAAUGUUCAUGUGAUUUUUUAUUUUUUAUUUUUUAUUUUUUUUAUUGUCUUUAAUGUUACUUGUUGAUAGAUUAUGAUUUUUUUUUAUUUAAAUGUAAGUUAUUACAUUAUUCUUUUUUUAUAAGUAAUACAAAUGUUUAUUUUUGAAUCUUGCACCAAGUGUCUAAUGUUGAUUUCAAUAAUUUAACAUGUAACCAUUUAAAGAGUUUUAUGUUUAAUCAUAUAUAUAUAUAUAUAUAUAUAGUUAUAUAGUUAUAUGUUUGUAUUUUUUUAUUGAUAUAUAUCUGUAUUACUCAGCUUGCAAAUUUGCAAGAAACAUGUCCUCAAUUUGCACACUGACCUUUUUACUUCAUCCGCUCUUUACCCAUGUGUUUCAACAAAUAUAGAUGUUAGGUAGCGAUCUUAGAUUUUUGUAGACAGCUCAAUGAUAUCAAUCAAUUUUUUGGCAUUUCUAAUAUUCUGGCAAUCGGAUUUAGAAUUUCAAUAUGUAUAUACAUAUAAAUAUAUAACAUAAAAUUAAAAUUUGGAAAUCAGAUAAUAUCAAAGAUGUAGGACAUACUAAAAUAUUUUGGUUUAGAAAGCUUUUUGGAUAUAUUAUUCAUCUAAUACUAAGCAACAACUAUGUACCUAUCCUUCUACAGCGAUUCAAGUUGUAUUAGCUACGGUUCUAAUCACUUAUAUAUAUAUAUAUAUAUAUAGUAUUUAAGCCUAUUUAUUAUGAAUUUAUUUAAAUUAAGAGCACAUUAAUUAUUAUUUUAAAAUGCGUUUUUUUUACUAUUUUUAUAUAUCAACAGGUAUUGUAAUAUAUCUAGUAACAUUAUAUCAAAUUAGUUCUUACAAAUUCAUAGUUAAUCAUAUAAAAAUCUUUGAUGUAAGCUGUUUUUAUUUGCACAAGAAUACAAAUGCCAAUUUCUUCCUAGUUAUCUGUUGUAAUAUAUAUAUGCAUAGUUUUAAUAAUUAUUUUUCUUUCUUCUAAUUUCAAAUAUUAAUCUAAAAUAUCUUAACUUAACAUAAGAGAUAAACGAUUAGACAAAAAGACAGUUUUUUAUAUAAUGUAACAAAUCUAAGUUUAUGAAAUGCAAAAGAUCAGAUAUGUAUAUUAUUUAUAAUUCAGUGAAAACAAAUCACUCAUAGGUUUAAAGAUUAGAAGAUAAUAAGAAUGAUUAUAGUGUAAAUACUAGAAAAUCAUAAUAAUAAUUUUUAUUACGUAAAGACAUUAAAUAUUUAAUCUAAAAUUUUAAAAUAACUUUGAUUAUUUUCUUUAAUUAAAAGGAAAAUUUUAUUUUCAUACCAGUCCUUGUAGUCUGAUAUUUUAAAAUUAUAAGAGCUUUGGAAUCCUUGAUUUGAAACAAAAAGAAAAAUUAAGGACAAAUGAUGCAAUUUGAAUGAAGGAGUAAAAUUCGUUGGGAUUUGUGCCAAAAAGAUAUGAAGUUUUACCAAUAGAUUUAUAAGAUAAGGUAGGGUCUAUACGAUUUAAGCUAUUAGAAGAUGUUAUGGCAAUAGAUAGAUAAGUGUUUAUAUAUAUGUAGGUAUAUAUAUUUACUUAUAAGACUUUAAUACAUUUAAACAAUAAUAGUCCUUAAAGACUCUAAUUCUUUAUUUUGAUUUUGUAGAAAUAUUUAGAUUUUUAAUGAAUUGAUUUAUUAAUUAUUUAUCUAUUUCAUUAAUAUUGUAUUUAAUUUGAACAAAAUAAUACUUGAUUAUAAAAUAAUCAUAAUUUUUUCCAUUCAAAGAUUUUUUUUUAUCAAUUUAGUCUUUUGAGCUUCAAAAACUAAUUGUAUUUCAAUCUUUGAUACUUCCAAAACUUUCAAAAACAAUUCUUUAAAAGUAAUGCAGAAUGAUUAAUUUGAUUUUAGAAAUAAAAAUAAAAUAUUGAAGAAUGUCUUUAUUUAAAAUUAUCACUUUUCAAAAUUUAAAAUUAUUUUUUAUGGUUUUUCGUUUAUGAAAAUAACAUAAAAAGAAUAUCUUAUUUAUAUAUGGACAUUAUGCUUUUCUGAUUUUUUUAAGCUUUUAAUGUAUUGUUAUAUCUUUGAAAUAUUAAAAUAUUUUGUGAAUGAAAAAUUGCAAUGCAUUUUGAUGUCUUGUCUUGUUGAAAAUGUUAAAUGUAUUACAAUAAGAACAAUUAUAUUUUGUAAAAUAUUAAAAAAUAUAGAUAAAGCUAAAUUAGUUAUAAUGAUUUAUAUACUUAAUAAUAAUUGAGCAUACAUGCAAAGUGAUUUUUAUUGUGAUAAAUGAAAUCUGCAUUAAUUUUCUAUGCAUUUGUAGGUGAAAACUAGCACUUUUUGCAAUUAAAAUAUAAUAAAUGAAUAGAAUUAAAAUCAUGUACUUUUACUGAUUUGUUUCCACAUGGACAAGUCUAUGAUUGAUUGGUGAUUUUGUAAAAGAAUUAGUUAGUGUAAUAAAUUGGUAGAACAUUGUAGGAUGAAAAAAUAAUUCUAAGCCAUUGAAGUUGGGGUUUGAUUAAAUGUAGUUGUAAUCUCUCUUAAAAUUACAUGUACACACAAGUGGGUGCAAAUUUUACAAAAAGAACAAAUCAGCUAUUAAAAAAAUGUAUAUACAUGUAUAUAUAUAUAUAUAUAUAUAUGAUCUUUUUUUAUUGUUUAGUUAAUGGUCACUAUGCUUGGUGUGUGGAUGUAGAGAAUUCUAUUGGAGUAAUUGGAAGUAGUAGAAGCUCUUACAUUAAUAUUUAAUGAAUUGUCCAUGAAUGGGUGUAUUAUGGCUACUAGCAAGUAAAUGAUUGGCUGUAAAUGUAUGUCCUUUAUGAUUUGUUCAAGUAAGUAUUAUGAUAAACUUUUUCAUGUGAGGAAAUGAUUACCUCUGAAACUAGAAGAUAGGCGCUGGUUGUGUGCUAUGAAUAGGAUUUGGUGUGUUAUUUGUGUGAACUUGAUUCAUCCUAAUUGGUCAAAUAGCUUAUAUAUAUCUUUAUAUAUAAAUAUAUAUAUAUAUAUUAACGAUUAUAAAUUAUUUAUUUCACUUAUUAUUAUUAUUAUUAAUGUAAUAUGGUGUUUGAAAAAUUUGUUGUUGUUUCAAUUCAUAAAUAAUGAUGGUUAAGUUUAGAAACUUUCUCAAGUUAUAUUCUUGUGUUACUUUUUCUUUUUCUUCUCUUCAAUAUUUGAUUGUUUGUAUUUUGAUUUUUUUUGUGUACAUACACUACAUAAUAAAACACUGCCUAGUGUUACCAUGUGACAUAUAUUAAGAUGUUUGAUUUGUUUAAUUUCAACCAUAUUAUUCAUAUGAACAUUUAAGUAUUGAUUUAUUCAUAAGAUUGUAUUGGUUGCUUUGGAUUUGAUAAUUGAAUUGAGUAAAAUAUUAUAUUUACCAAAUCAUCCCUUAUUAAAUUACAACUUCUACAAAGUUAUGGGGAAAAUGGUGGAACCAAGAUGGUUUCAUGGUGCUAAACUAUUACUUGCUAAAUUAUAACUUCUCAUAAGUUUUAUUCUAGAAUAUACAAACCGACCCCAUAAUUUAUUAGAAAUAAUGCAAAAUUAAAGGAGUAGAAAACAAGCACAAAUCUUUAUUUACUAAAAUAAAAAUUACUAUACAAACUGAAUUUAUUGCAAACGAAGAGUGGUAUGGUAUUGUGAAGCUACAAGAGUGCUUUAAUGGAAUAUAAUGAGGUGGUGAAGCCAUGCUCAAGCGUGGCUGAGGAGGAGGAGGAGGCCGCCAGGGUAAAGCCGCGGCAGCGGCACGUUGGAGGGGGAUAGGCGGCAUGGCCAUUCAAUGACGUAGCGUCUGCCCGCGGCACCGCCGUGACAACGUGCUCCUGCCGCGCUCUCUCUCCCCCUCCAAACCACCCACCCAACCCAACGUUGAUGAGCCCGCCUCUCAGGUCCAUGUCGACAGAGAUAGAGAGAGAGCGCGGGUGGGGAUCCAUCCAGGCUGGGCGGGCGCAAUCACGCAGGAUACAGCAAAUCACGGGUGGGAAUCCCCCCACCCCCUCUCUCUGUCUCCCCCCCUCCCAGGAGCUUUCUUCCUUUGCCCUUUUUCUCCUCUCCUCCGGCUCUUGCCACUCUGUCUCUCCGUCGGGCGGGCGCGCUGCACAAUCUCUAUUUGUCGUCACAUCACAACCAUGGCAAAUGAGAGAGAGCGAGAGUGAGUGAAGGGGAGAGAGGGAUACAGAGAGAGGCGGGGGAGGGAGAGGGAGAGGGAGAGGGGGAUAGAGACGGAUAGAGAGAGAGAGCGGGAGACGGAGGGAGGGAGAGGCGGGAGGAUGGUUUAUUGAGACAAUCGCUGUGGGAUGAUGGCCUGGGUGGCCAACCCUGUGCGUCCCAUUCAGUUUCCUUUUCCCCUUUCUCCCCCCUCUCUCCCUUCCCUUCCCUUGGUGUUGGCCUUGUGGCCGGUGGGACUGGCGGGGCAGAAGUACUAUAAAUACCUAUUUUGCCACCAUCUUCUCACAUUCACUGGGUACUUGUGCCCUCCUAGAGAACUGCCCCCCCCCCCCAAAUUUCUGUAGCAUACUGCCUUUCCCCUCGCCUUUGCCUCUAACUCUGCACACGCAGGAACCAGCUCCUCGCAGGUUUCGCAACCCCAGACUGAGGUCGUGGUGCUGGUGUUGCAUGGCUUACGCCUCCCAAUUUUACGGGAUGGAGUGGUUCCCUGGCGUGUGCUCACGUGAGGUGACAACCGCCGAGGUUGCUUACGGCGACGGGGGAGUAGGAUGUGUUGUGUUAUUCUUCCCUUUCUUUUUCUAUGUUCUCUCUUCUCAUUUCGACAGUGGUGGCGGAGGUAGGCUCUAGUGUGUGCGGAUUCACUCCCCAGAAGUGUCUGCCGAAAAGUGCCUUCGGCGAUGUAGAGUGAGAACGUAGUGUCAACUGUUUUGAGAUUUUCGUAGGUUAUUGUGUCUGUGCCGCUGUGUAAUGCGCAUGAGGUGAAGUAUAUCCACUAGUUGCGCGUGAGUUGUUUCGGAGUUGAGCCUCAUCGAUUCGUUAUGGAAAGUGGCGUCAAAUUGGGACCGAUGAUCCAGCUACACUGAAGACACCUGAUAGAACUGCGAAAUUUCUGGAUCAUAAAUUUGCUCAAUGCUCUCUGGAGCUUCUGUGUUACCACGUUGGAGAGAGUGUUGAUUUGGACUCCCUGAUAGGGCUUAGGCAUCUUUCAGCCCUUGCUUCGGGUUUUCGUCCUUAUUGGCCUCCCUCAUUGGGCCUCAGAAGCUUCACAGAACAUUGACUUGAUUUGUGACCCUGUGAUGAGGAAGAGAGUGUACCGGUUUACGGACAUCAGUCUCAACGCUAAUAGCCCGAUGUUAUGCUAGUCACUCUGAGUAUUUCCACAGCUAAGAAGACCGGAUUACGCGGUAUCCUGUUGUGGCUGAGUUGCCAAUUUUUGGUAUCUUCUUGGUUUGGUGAUGAGACCAGUCUCAGUUUCCAAGUAUAAUGAGUUCUUGAGUUUAUGUGCAUUCGAACAGGUCUUUCAUCUCUUCUGGGAGUUCCAGGGUGCCGACUUCCUCACCGGUUUUCUUUAGAUCUUUCUACUACGAACCACGUUACAACUCUAAUUCUCUCCUUGUGAUCAUCUUUGCGCUCGUAGUCAUUCGACGUAAAUGCCACGGGAGGUGUUCAAUCUGACGAUGAAAUUAGAAUCAUGUUAAACGUGAUCUUCUGUGUGGCAUUGCUGUCCCGGUUUCUAUACACACUAGCUUGACGUCUACUUCCUUUGAUUAUAUUUGAUGGCUGAAUCGCAGUGUACUGCAUCACUCCUACGCUCUGCCAUUGCAAGUGCGGGUACAAGUAUAUGAUCCUGCGGAUUUAGGAUUUUAUUGGACAUCGAAGGUGCGCGCUCCUACUGCAUCCCCUGUUUCUGUCACUUGAAGGUCCAAAUCUAAACUUGAAUUAAUUAUUGAUUCUCUCUUUUACACAAGUUUGACGAUGUGGCCAUCGCAAAUUUGCGGACGUCACGUGCUGUCAUGUAUCUAACAGAUGGUUGCAUCGUUUGCACGUACAUCCUGCGAACUCCAUGUCACAUCUUAACUCGUCAGCAAUUGUAGACUUAAGCUCGACUUCGGAUCGGCGACUGUCUGUUCUAGAGUAUGCCAGAUUGCUUGUGGGCUAAACAGCCACGAGAGUUCCAUUCUCGCAUGCCUGAAGUUUGUCACUCUAGAAUGGGACAUAUUUGUAUGGUGCUUUGGUUUGUGCGCAGCACUUUCUGCGUCAAUGUUUAGAAGUUGGCGAAGGAAGUAUGUGCGUCACUGGAUGUUUUGGAACCCUAAAUCACUUCAAUACCUUCUAUACUCUGGUGUGUGAUCUACUCAAUAGACAUCGUUAGCUCAUGCUUACAAGUGUUCUGCAAUUUGUGUUAUUGUUGAGCCCAUUCUUCGGGGUCCAGACGUAUCGCAGGUAGCGGGAUAUCAGACGCACAGUUCAGCUCUCAGACGUUAAGGACUGUAAUGUGCAGCGCCUUUCGAAUGUGCAUUCCACCACGAAGCCCAUCCUCAUAUCGUAAUAACUCUUAAUCUUUAAGAGAAUGCGGUCGAAACCAUCGGUCUUGUACCCCUUGCAUCUGUCCUCCGCAGGAACGGUUCAGUUGAUCGAGUCCUUGGUGCAGUGUCCCGAUUAUCACCAUCUUACUACACAUUUCCUUUCGGUUGAACAGAAGUUCUGAGAGUUUCCAGGACUUCAUCGCCGUUACAUGUACACGCUUGACAUACCCCGCGAGCGCUGAUUGUGUCCCCGCCCACAUAUCGUACACGAGUUGUGACUACCGCGUGGCCCAACUGAUAUCCUCCGCGUGCACCCCGGCUGUAAGGUGAAGGUCGCUGUCGUGCCUGUACUGGCGACCCUCCUCGGGGACAGUCUUUGUGAUCUGGUGCGUGACACACCGCAUACAUUCGGCACCUGAGGACCUCCCUUCUGCCACAGUUUAUUCCAGCCUCCACCGAUACGGAGAUUAGUUCAGUCUUCAGAGCAUUCCUCAUUAGAUCAAUCAGGUCAGGUCAGCUCCUGGAAACCUUAUCAAUCGCGUUUCAACCACCAGACUACCAUUGUUUCUCCUCUUUGCCCUGAUUAGCAACUCUGCCCAAAUAUACACACACAAUGUGGAUGAGGCAAACUUUUACCUCCUGGCACCGCGCAUCGCGUACUGACACUAUCAUGCAACUCUCGUGUCUCCGACUUCCUUCAUGUCUACCACGUUUCGAAACCAUUGAAGCUCCAGCGACAGAGAAGACAACCCAUCAUACUGAACGCGGCUGAGUAGCCGACAAGCCACGGAGUUCUCAAUCAUUUUACAAGACGCAUUCCGUUCUUUCUGUGACUCUGCAUCAGUGGUACAACAUCGUCGACGAUGAGUACUGAUCAGUUGAGAACUGCUGCCUACACCCCCUCCCCUCUCCUCCACCAGACAUUUUAGCCUGACCAUGGAUUGAUCAGUGCAUUAACUGCGAUAUCCCUGCUCAACUGAUUAAAUGAGCUGAAUGUUACAAGGUCACAGAAGACAGGAGGUCAACUACACGAGCAUGAUUUCUGCACGAGGUCGGUGCCGUUGUUUGCACACCUCUGUGGCGAGCGGACAACUGCUGCAGUGGCGGCUCUCGGAAGUAGGGAACGGAUGGAAAGCUCGCAUCAAAGCGUAAGAAUAAUCCCAAGUGAUUAUACUCGUUCUGAUUAGUGAAAAUGAUCGCCCUGAUUACUGAGAAUGGUCGUCCUGAUUAGUUGGAUGCACUCAAUAAUGGGGGGGGGGGGGUGUUUGACGAGUGAUUUUGGUGGAAUUCGCUAGCAGAAAGUGGGAAAGUGGAUAAUAUACACUACUUUGCUGGUUUUGGUCAAAAAGUGGUUUGCAUAAAGUUUGCAAAAUGAUUGGAAAAAUCAAUAGCGAUUUUCCACUGAUGCCCAUUCCUUUCUUGUUGCUUCUCUUGCCCUGAUUCUAUUACACCACCGUUCGACGCUAGGGGUAGUUGGCACUUCCUACCCUUGUAUUUUGAAAUUUACAAGUAUCAGUUAUUUUCUCCGUUUAUAUUUUGCAGAAGAAUAUAUGUAUGUAUGUAUAUAUAUAUAUAUAUAUAUAUCUUUGUAUCUUUAUAUAGACACACAUAUAUGUUCUCAAUGAUCUCUGUUUGUGUCUUGCUCUCUCUCUAUCUAUAUAUAGAUAAAUACAUGUGUUCUAAAUGAACUUGAUGCUGUUAUUAAAACCAUGUAUACAUUUUAUUCCAACAACAUAUAAGUAUUUCAAUAUUAUUCUUAUUACUUUACCUUCUGGCUACUUUACUUUUUAUACUAAUUGUUAAACAGUUGUAACAUGUUUAUAUCUCCUUUAUAUUGUACACAAUUUCUAUCUUACCUUUAAGCAAAACUUUGCAACUCUAUUAACAAGUUUUAUUUAAUUAUUUAUUUGUUCUUUUCAAUUACUUCUUAAAAUCCUUUACACAAAAAAACCAACUGAAAAAAGGCAAUGACGAUUGUACUAUGUACAUAAAACAUGGAACCACAGAUUCAAAUGUCGUUAAAUUGAAAGAAAAAUUUAAAAUUCAUGUAGCACUCCUCUAAUUAACAGAAAAGGUGUGAUUUCUUGACCCACAAAGACGUUCUCCGACAUUUAACAUUUACAACUACACUUAAAUAAAUAAAAAAAAGUUAUUAGUGACACGUUGAUACUAUGUUUAUCAUUGUUUGUUAUGCUUUGCCUUUUUUAAGAUGCAAGAGCAAACCUUUCUUGCAUCUUUGGAAAAACAAAACUUUCAUUAUUCCUUCAAAGUGUAUUUUUAAUGUAUUUUACAGUUUUUUUAAAACACAAGAAUAGAGCUGAUUUUGAAAUACCUUCCAGUGUGAUAAAAUGAUGUAAAAAAGUUUAAAUUAAGACAUGUUAAAGAAAAAGAAGCAGUUGUAACAAGAACGUGCAAUAAAUUUAGUUUUCCGACAUCACUCACAUGACUUUGUUAGGAAAAUUUUGCCAUAUUUUCAAAGUAAAUUAAAAAUAUCACUUUUUUAUUUUUAUUUUUAUUUAUAAAAUUACUUUAAUUUUUAUGUUUUCUGUAAUUGAAUACAACAUUGCUGGCGAAAUUUGAACAUUCCUUGGAUUAGUGUUUGUUUCUACUUGUGUGUCUCAUUUAACCAUAUUAGAAAUGUCAUAACUACUAAAAUUCUAAAUACAUAUAUCAAAUGGAUUCCUUAAUAUUAACAAUUUGAUGAUCUCACAGUCAUAAUAUGGUUCUUUUAAAAUAAGUACCUACAGGAAUGUUUUGAUGAAAUCUAGACUGUCUGAUAUUUUGAUUUUUUCAAAUAUUUUCGAGAAUGUAUAAAAAAACAACGAAGGAUGUUAAAAUAUAUUUCUUUUCUUGGAACCAGAUUAUCAUAUUAAUUAUUAUUUUUUAUAAUUGAUUUAAUGCAUUUUGUUGGAAUUUCAUCAUUAUAAAACCUUCAUCCUCAAAGAUAAAGUGAGAAUUAAAAAAGUAAAAGAAAAAAGUAAUUUGAGAAGAUUUUGUAGUACUAACUUUAUGAACCGUUUUUUUAGAAUUGAUAAGUUUCCUUUACAAAUUAUAAGAAACUUUUCAACAAUAUUUAUAAAAUAUCAGUUUGAAAAUAAAACUCAAAAAUAUUUGCAAUCGAUAAAAUGAAAUUAAGUAAUACGACCCGAGAUAAAUUUGAAGGAUUUGAAACUCGAUUUUAAACGAAUGAUUUUGAGUCUGUACAAGAUAUUCAUGUAAUCUACACUCUCUUUAAUUAUAUAUAUAUAUAUAUAUAUAUAUAUACAUAUAUUAAAAAAAAACAUGAAUAUGGACUGGAAAAUAUUCAGUAAAUUAUACAAACACACUUGAGGGAUCAAAUUUCAGAGUGAAUUCUGUUUUUCAUGUUCAUUCUAAAACAAAACAUUUCAUAAGCAAUCACCAUUAUUAAACCCUCUUCCAUAACAAGACAUUCAUCUUAUGCAGUAAAAGUUUUCCCUCAUUCACACCACAAACAUAACAGCACCCUUUCUAUCACAAACAACAGUCCACUUGGCAUCAAAAUGCAGCACUCAUCAUGCAAACUAGAAAACAAAAUAAAAACUGAUGCUAUUUCACAAGGUACGAGUACGAAAUUCAGAAUUAACACACCCCACAUGGAGUAGAAAAUAUCACAUGUAGGUAAAGCCAUGAGAGGGGGUGGGGGGGACCACAACUUUCACUACUCAAUUAAAACUACAAAGAAUUGCCACUUUUUGUAUAAAAACUUGCUAUUCUGCAAAGAGGCGAGAGCUAUAAGUUGAAACACACCCUCACACUAUCAACACAUGUUUGUUUUUAUUCUAGUACUAGUACAAUAGUCUGCAAGCAAGGGGGUCAGCAAGCGCCGCGAGCUCACUCACGGACGCAGCGCGCAUCGACGCAGUCAUGUCAACAGAGGGAGGGAGGGGGGGAAGAUAUUAGAAGAAGGAAACAUAGAUCACACAAUCUGUGUUACAUUACACACAUGUAAUGAGAAAAGUACGAGUGAAAGCGCAGCUUGAGGUGAGGUGGUGCCGCUGCGAGCCAAGGAGAUUGCUCAAUGCUCAUGGGCCUCAAGACCAAGCUUCUACUGCUGAAAAUAUGGAUGUUGUUCAAGGCAGCGUGAGUGAUGGCAAAGUACUGGAAUAUAGCGUAACUGCACAUAAAAAAAAACUUGAGCACUAGUUUUAGAAAACGGAGCUGUGACUAAGAUGUCGGAGCCAUGAUGUGGGUAGAAAGGGGGGAAGAGGUAGGGAGAAAAAGGGGUGGCGAUGGUGGGGGGUGGUGAAGGCUGGGGCAAAAAACGAAUCAUAGGCACCACCUUCUGAUGAUUCACUGACAGACAGCCCUUCCCAACGCAGCGUGAGUACCCAUGAUCAGGAUUUCAAGUCAGAAUUUAACUUAUCUUCAAUGCAAUCAGCUGGUCUUAAAUCCAGCCACUCAAUCGCCCUGCAAAGGGUACUGCGGUUCUGAUGCCCGUGAGUUACAGGCCUUGCAAUUGGCAGCAUCAGCAGAGCCUGCGUGUGUGUGCGUCACCACGGAAAGUGGUCCCUAUGGAGAUUUCGAUCCCAUGCUGUUGGCGGAUCAUCUGAAGUGGGUUGUUUCUAGCUUGUGUGUGAGGACUAGCGCUGAGCAGAUAAUUUGUUGCAUGGCUGUGGCCCUAAAAAAUGCCUCUGCUGACAAUGAUUAGUGGUUGUCAGUAACGCUGCUGCUACUCACCUGAAGCCUGCGAAUGAGCGGCGUGCUGACUUUUCGCUGUGUAAUUGGGGGCAGGCUCCCGAGCUUGAUUCUCUCAAUGGGCUUUUGGACACGACCUCGAUUUGUGGCUAAAGACACAUGUUGAUCACAUGUUGGUGGCUUCCAAGGGAAUAAGGGGAAUGAGGCUCCGGAGACUGACGAUAUGGGCAUCCGGAAAUCCAAUGAACGCAAUCUCAUGGAAUACCGAAGUUGUUUCAUUAAGCACGGGAAUAGUGACAGGAACAAAGUCUUUUGUAGGCAGUCACGGCGACUGCCGAAGCUAGACUUUACGAAGCUUUUGGUUAUCACUUCCCCCUCAUACCACACAGCGGUGAGUUGCUGCAUAUUUGGCCUGCAGGGAUCGAUAGAAGAAUGAAACUCAAAAGGUUUUCAACAAUUUUGAGGAGGUUUCGUCAUCGCCUCUCUGAAUGUGUGCGUUGGAUGUCAUCUUCGAUUAUGAACUUAAUUUCCUCCAUAUCUAACAGCCACAGAGAGGUUGAGUUGCACAAAAAACUAGCAACUAAUACAAGUAAUUUAUACUCUUUUGACUCCGUCAAGCGGAGAUUGCGCACGGAGUAGUAAUGAAUCAUGGUGGAUGCGAGAAUCUGCGUCAGAUUACGCCGAACCCCCAUGAAAGUGAUAAGAGCUAUGAUCAACCCUUUCAUUUUCAGAUCGAUUUUUAAGAGGUCAUCGUGAUUGUUCAGGCGUAUCUUGUUCGCCAACUUGUAUCAAAAAAAUUGUUUCCUCCAUUAUAGAGAGUUUAAAGGUAGACCGAAGAGUAUGGGUAGCUCCAAAUCUGCAGCUACUUUAAGAAUACAGUGCAGUUACACAGACACAAUCUUCCAGCAAUUCCCAAUUCAAUGAUGCUCGCAGAUCCUUUCUGGGAAUCGAAAUCCGUCUACGUUUGUGAUUCUUAGAGCUGAUUUCUGUCGACAAGUCUCACUUACUCGUUUCCAGUGCAGAAAACCAUAAAUUUUCUCCAAAGGCUUAAAAGUUAGAUAGAUGAUUGUUGUUUCCGUUAACAGAUACAUUCAAGGCUUCUAAUAAUAUAAGCUUUGGAGGUACCAAGAAACGCAUUGAAUCUCAAAGAGAUGAAUUAGAAAAUAUAUGAGUGACUUGACGGGACUAAAUGGAUUCAGGUGCUAUGGGUGGUCUCUGAAACUGCUUUGAUUAUGUUCCAUUUACCCACAGCACUGGUUCAAUGCAAAUGGUAGAUUGAACUCAUGAUAAGGUACGAAUCCAUCACAGGGAAGAGAAAGUACGUGAAUGUCCCUUUGAAGUCUAGCUUUUUCUCAGUAGGCCAGUACUCCAAUCGGAACCAACUCAGAUCUUAGAGGAAUACAAGUCCUCUGCUCAAAUUUACAAAUUACGGCGACAAGUCAAGUAAAAAUUACUUAACUCUUCGUAAUGACCCAGUUCUCGACUACGUCACAGAUGAAACAGUCCCUGUCAAUGCUCGGUCAGAAGGCAUUCUAGUUCACUUGUGUCCCAAACACACCCUGACUUUCGUGCCCUGAUUCUGGAAUAAGGACUUCGUUGACGCUGGUUAAGUUUCUUUUUCGAGUAUGUAAACUACAAUGAUAAAUGCAGCUUCGUGACUCAUUGCUUGCACAGCCCAAUGAGCAAGAUCAUGUAAUAUUGUUAGUUGGGUAGAAAAUCAUAAUGCAUGUUUCACUGAAAUGCAAAAGACCAAGGCAACAGUGGAGCACAUCUCCAAUUGCUUCUAAAAUACCCUUGUUCCGAAGCCACAUUCCAGGCCCAUCCAUGCCUGAUGAAGUAGUCGUUGCUAGUGUUUCUUCAAACUUCUUAUGGGUAUAGAGGAAGAUCUUUUUCUUUAGAAACACUCUCUGCCUACUUCGUCGAACUUAUGAUAGGUAAGAAUAGCAUUAAAUAUAGCUGCAAUGUGCCCUUAGGAGCUGAAAAAAUAUCGUCAUAGAAAGAGGCUAUGAGUUGUAUCAGAGGGCUGUAAACUUGAAAGCAGAGAGCAUGUGGUGGAGGCCAAAGAGAGUUUAUGAUGUUACCAAAAUGAUAUUAACGAUAAAAGUGAUAGGAUUUAUACCAUACAAAUGAAUAUGGAAUUAAUUACAGAGGUGUUUCAUUAAAAGAAAAAGCAGUAAACAUUAUCAGCAAUUUAAGCUGAAUGCCCCUUCCAUGAGGAUGAGUUGAAAACUUCUCCACAUAUUCUGAGGCUCCUGGGGUAAUGCAACCCAUGGAAACUUUCCCCCUGCUCCACUGGUUAGUGUAAAAGGGAAAUUAGUCUUGCAAGUCAAGCUGAGUCAUUGAGAGCAUAGCUGUGAACAAAGCCACUGCUAAGACCUUGUCAGAACUGUGUACUGUAUUUUCUUCCUUAACAGCUCAUUAUCACAAUACCAGGUCUCCCCAUUCCAUCCCAGGUCUCUACUGACUCUUAGCUUCAUACAGUAAAGAUGGAACAUCACUUCAUGAUGCCAGCCCUCACCCACAAAUAGCUACACUAGCCCAAGCCCAAGUUGCAAUUACCAUCAAGUUUUGAUCGACCUGUUUCCAACACUUGCCAUAGCACAUGUUUGGAGUGUGCCCAUGAUGGAGCUCUGUACCAAUUGCACCAGAGACCACAUGGUUCACCACAUCCAGAUUCUGAGAGUGAUUUUGUAUCACCAGGCGUUCAGUAGGGUAGAGCUGAAAGCAGUGAUGUUCUACAGUAACUCAACCAGAGUAGUAAUUGUUUAGUCAGAUCAAUUAUGUCAUGAGCAUAAUUAAUCAUGGCACCACAUAAUUCAUGUUGCGUUGCACACAUACACAGAACCCAACUUAAUGCUUCUCAACAAACGAGGCUGUUUACAUUUAGAAGUAAUUGGAGGUAUGGGGAAUGAGAGUGGGGCAAGCUUCGUGCAAGCUCACUCACCGCAUUUAAUGCCGACAUCCCUGACACGAAAAGAUUUGAACUCCAGGAGCUGCCAUUGAUCUCAACGCUGAAAGCAUUUAAGGAGGGGAUGUCUAACUUGACGGUGUUGUUUACUGACUGCCCCGCUGAUUCUUGGCAUCGCAUAGCCAAGCUUUGCAAGCCUGCAAAGCUCCUCCAACCACCACCACCAACGCCACCAACUUUACAGGAAAUCUGAUUGAUGUAGUCAUGACCAUGCUCACAAACCUUACCUCUCUCUGUUCGUUCUCCUGUCAUCGCAUGCUGUACGUUGGCAGCAGCCACAACAGCCCCACAAGGAUUCAGAAGUUCGUUUCUCUCUCUUUAGUCAUGGUUGCCGUAAGGAGCAGAAUUGUUAGGGUUGGGCUCGCAAGUACCUUUGCCACGGUAGAACAGAUCUAGAAGCUCCUAAGCUGGUUCAGUGCCUAGUGCAAGUGUUGAAACCCUGCGAUGACUUGGGAGUCCAGGUGAAAAUUUGUCUAUCGCGGUGGUGCUGUUGGCCAACAAAGUGGAGAUUACAGGGGCGAUGAUUGUGUUUUUAGUCAUAUUCGUCGUUGCAUUGGUUUCGAACGAAGAACAUGGAUCCUCAGCAACAGAGUUCAACGAAACUGACUAGAACUGAGCUCUCUGGUCGGUGAUGGCUGUUGGGAAAGUCUUCUACGACCAGUGCAAUCAAAAUAUAGCAUUUCCAUUCGGGCAUUCGGUAAGCAGUAGGUUCCCUAGGGUAUAAACUUGCAGCCAAUCGCUACUUUCAUCGCCGUUGAAUUGUUAGUUUCCAAAUUGUAAUACUUAUUGAAACAUAGAAAGCAUACUCCACACAAGUAAGUUAGGACCAGCAAGGUUGCACUAUAACAAAUAGAGUGUGGUAUGAGAUAAUUCUUCCCAUGCCAACCCUUUCCUUAUAUACUAGUACCAAGGUACCAAGUGCUACAAUCCAUAUGGGAUAUCUUCUAGGACCAGCCCUCCCCUUGUACUCUAAUGUACUAUAGACCAGCACCCUACCUUAUGGGAUAUCCUUAACAACACUUGUACUCUAUUGACCAUUAGCAACUACUUAAAGAGUUCUUUUCUCAACACUCCCACUUUGCUAUUGGUCAAUUAGCUAUCAAUCCUAAUGCCUUACUCAACUUCUUGUGUCCUUCUCUAACUAAGGCUUUUGUCAACAAAUCAGCCAACAUGUCUUUGGUUUCACAAUACAUCAUAUCAAUAACCUCCAUCUCUAUCUUCUCUCUUAUGAAAUGAUGCUGAAUAUCAAUGUUUUUAGUUCUUCCAUGAUGCUUUGGAUUCUUUCCAAAAGCAAGACAUCCUUGAUUGUUACACCUCAAUGGAGUAGCCUCCAAUUACACAAGUCCAAUAUCUUCCAAUAACAACCUCAAUCAAAUUGCCUCCAUUGCUUUAUGACUUGCUGCCAAAUACUCCGCCCCUAUUGUGGACCUUACAAGGUUUGGUUGUCUAUUGCUAUUCGAAGAUAUGGCUCCCACUCAAACAAAGAAUACAUAGCCCAUUGUUGACCUUCAAUCGUUUGCAUCUCUCUUGGUUCUAAGCACUCACUUACAUCCAAUUGUUGUGGAAAGAUGUGGUUCUUUCACCAUUCACCUUGUGGUCUUCUCUCACGUGUUGGAUAUCUUCUUUCAUGCAAAGAAGAUGAGCCUUCUUGCACCUCUUGCUGCCUUGUAUGACUCAUGGAGUGCUUUCUCUUACUCAUUUGUUGGUAUUCUUCAUCUUCAUUCUCUUCAUUGUCCUUGUUGUAUCUUGCUAGAAUUGAAGUCUUCAUAGUAUUGGGCUCUUCUAUCAUGGCAACUUCCUCUUCUUCUUCACUUUGAGAAUGCUCUUCUUCAUCUUCUUGUUUGUUUGUUGGAAUUGAAGAUGUGUCCACAAACACACCACUACUCCCACUUGGACACAUCUCCCACUUUUCACUACCACUCAUAGAUGGUGUCCUCAUGGAUCCACAAACAUCCGAAUGCACAAGCUCCAGCAAUUGGUUUGCUCUUGUUGCAACUCCUCUAGGAAAUGGUGUCCUAUGUUGUUUGCCUUGAAUGCAUCCCUCACAAGCAAAAUUCAUCGUAGAAUGGCCAAGGUCUAUGCCAUUUACCUUGGAUUGAUGCCCCUUCAUGCUUUUGGCAUUCAAAUGCCCAAGUCUUUGAUGCGAAAUGCCCAUCUUCUCUUCAUUUGAUGGAAAUUCAGCAAAGGCAGCAACCUCCACUCCAUUGAUCUUCUUGCAAUUGAUAAUAUAGAGAUUGCCAUUCCUAGUCCCUUUUGCUACUUCUUUGCCUUCCAUGGUUCUCACAAAACAUCCAUUCAUGUUAAAUUGCACUUUGUACCCAUGAGUUACAAGUUUACUCACCGAAAGGAGGUUCUUCUUCAUCUUUGGCACAUGCAACACAUCCUUGAGAGUGAUUCUCUUGCUUAUGCCCUUCACCACCACCUCCACUACAAUGGUGCCUAUUCCAAUGGCUUGUACCAUACAAUUAUCACCUAACCAAACCUUGGUUGCUUGAAUAAGUUGAUAAGUGUUAAAUGAACACUUGUAUGGAGUCAUGUGUUUGGUACAUCCGGAAUCCACAAUCCAUUUGCUCAUAUCAAACAUGGAAGGAGUUUGUUUUGCCAUGAAUGCAAAGUCUUCACCUCCAUGGUCAUGCAAAGCAUUGUUGGCAUUCUCUCUUUCUCCUCUCUUUGCUUUGAAACAAUUUCUAGCAAAAUGGCCUGGUUUUCCACAAAUGUAACAAGUUUUAGGAGGAUAACGUUGAAAAGGGGCACUUGCCUUACUUGGUCUUGUAAAUAGUGCUGAUUGCUCCCCAAUAGACUCCUUUUGCUUUCUUUUGGUCACUUCAUGGGCUAGUCUUGCCGUGACAUAGUCCAAAGUGAGGUCUUUCCUUGAAAUGGACUCCAAUGCCACAAUGAGGAAGGAAUAGGAGUCCGGAAGGCUUGAGAGCAAUGUCAUCACAACAUCUUCUUCAAGUAAAGGCUUGUCAACAACAGCAAGUUGGUUUGCAAGUGCUUUUACCUUAUUUACAUGAGCCAUGAGAUCUUCACCUUCUUCCAUCUUCACAAUGAAGAACUUUUGCCUUGACCAUAGCACAUUGGAAAGAUUCCUACUCUCAUAGACAUUGCAAAGAGUCUUCCAUGCAUCUGCUGCUCCUUUGCAAGAAAUGACAUGAGCAAAGUUGGUUUCAUCUAAGUUGGUGGCAAUUAUGCCAAAAGCCUUCUUCUCUCGUCUUUUGAAUUCCUUUUGCUCCUUCAUGCUUGCCUCUAAUCCAGGUGCCUCUUCCUCCUCACAUACUAUCUCCCAAAGAUCCAAUGAUGCCAAAAGUAGCUCCAUUUUGGCCUUCCAGUGGUGAAAGUUGUCACCUCUAAACUUUUCUACCAUUCUUAAGCUAUCACUCUCAAAAGAUGCCAUCUCAAGCUACAAGUAGGUCCAAAAAUCUCUUGAUUUGGAGUUGUAAUGCAAAAGAUAUGACUACUCAAAGAUUGCUGAACUACAAACUCAGAAUUCGCUGUUUUGCAACUUUUUGCAUACUUUGAGUCCAAAUCACGUCUAAAUGGUGGAAAAUGCUAUGUCAUGUAAUUCUAUGGCUUUCAAACAUCUCUCUCACAUCACCUCACUCAAAAUGACUCAAUUUCUCAUAAAACUCUCAAAUACUAGUGUUACUUCAGCAAAGACACUAUCAAGGUCUUGCACUAACCUCAUACACUCACAAAUCCAGGAGUAAUGACUUCAACAAAACACUAGUAAUACUAUACCAUAAGAUCUCAACCACCAAACAAGCAACAAAGAAAAUAAAAUGCAAGAACAACUUACUUGGUAAGAGAAUGUGGGCCCAUAACCUAUUGAAACAUAGAAAGCAUACUCCACACAAGUAAGUUAGGACCAGCAAGGUUGCACUAUAACAAAUAGAGUGUGGUAUGAGAUAAUUCUUCCCAUGCCAACCCUUUCCUUAUAUACUAGUACCAAGGUACCAAGUGCUACAAUCCAUAUGGGAUAUCUUCUAGGACCAGCCCUCCCCUUGUACUCUAAUGUACUAUAGACCAGCUACCUACCUUAUGGGAUAUCCUUAACAACACUUGUACUCUAUUGACCAUUAGCAACUACUUAAAGAGUUCUUUUCUCAACAAUACUCACAGAAGCUCAAAAAAUCAAAAAGAAAAUGCUAGAAACCAAUUAUUCACAAGAUCUGAACGGUCUAUUCUUAAUGUGCAAAAGCGAAAGUGGCGGUCGAAUGCAAGGAGACAUCGGGGAAAGUUGUGGACUCCGCCACGGGAUCAACAAAUUUUCUGGAAGAUUUAAUUUUUUAGUUCUACAGAGAAGUAGGAUCUGUCAGGAUGCUCAGUUUCUUUGGCUGGAAGCUCACACAGCAAACGCAACAUCGUCCGUAGCGGAGGAAAGACAUUGUCCUUAAAUUCCAAGUUUCUUCUCUACGCCAUGCAUGAAGUGGAUCCUCUGUUUUAUAAACCUGCACAGCCAAUGGAACUCUGCCCGAAGCUAAGGACUCCAUUGCCAGGACCUCCAGGUAGAGGCAUCACUGUCCCCUACCCCAAUACACCCCCAUCGACUUGCUCAUCCAUGUGCGAGCCCUCUCUGCCCUUUGAAACAUUACAAUGUCCGAGUCUGAGCACUAUCGUCCUUGCCCGACUGCACAUUGAUGUAAAAAAACGAUGGAUUUCACUAUGCUCCUUCCAGUGACUGGAUUCGCCCUGACUACAUAUGGUACUGACCGAAACAUAAUGCAACGAUAGGGAUACAAUCGUAAGCGGUGUUUUUCAGUAGAGAAGCAUAGAAAAUGCAUGGGAAAAAGAGGCGUGCCGGCAGCCUCUGCAGAGAUGAGGAACUGCUGCGUGACGCCGUAGCUGCCGUGCGCAACUCCCGCAUGAACUAGAAUUUGUUCCAUGUCCUGGCUUAGCAUUCAAGCAUCUUUUCCAAGGCGCAACAAGCCCCCGAUUCUGCGAAAGCUGAGCAAGCAAAUGGCGUUCAAGGAUGCCAACAAUGGCUUAGGCAAAGGAAAGUAUAUGCUCGUUUCCUGCGUGUGGUAUUCCACUUAUCAUAAGAAUGAAUGUCGUAACUUGAAAAUUUUCAAUGAUGAAGAACAUAUGCGUUUUGUUGUUGUCAAUUCUUUUGGAGAUAUUUGUAUUGGUGAAUUUCUUUUAUAUAAACUUAGUUUAUUUGAUUAUUUUAGAACUAUUACAACACACACACACACACACACACACACACACAUAUAUAUAUAUAUAUAUAUAUAUAUAUAUACUUAUUUAGAUGUAUUUAUUCAAGUUUAAAUUUUUUCAUAGAUUUAAAUAUCAUUGUUAAAGAAAAUUAAUUGGUUUUAGAAUUGAUAUCAAUAACUUGGAUUAAUUUUUUUGAAUGCAUUUAAAAAAUAUAAUACCAUAACAUACAUUAAACAUUUUAAUAUAUGCUCACUAGUAUAAAUCUAUACUAUUAAGUCUACAUAUGGUGUUAGUAAAAUGCAUAGAUUUUAUAUUAAAGAACUAUGUAUAUAUCUAUAUAUAUAUAUAUAUAUAUAUAUAUAUAUAUUCUUAUUAAAAUAAAUAAUUAUAUAAAAAUAAUUGCUAUCUAAUAUAGAUCUAUCUAUCUAUUUGAAAGAAUAUUAAAUUGAUUCUAUUAACUAUUAAUUUAAUCUAUCUAUUAUUAGAAUCACAAAAAAUAUAUCAUUAUCUAAUUAUAUUAAUAUCUUUAUAAAUAAAUAAUUUAAAAAUAAAUUAUGAAGAUGCAAUGUUGUUGUGUGGUAAUACAACUAUAUGAUGAAAAUAAAAUAAAAAAUAUGAAUGUUAUUAAUGAAGAGCCUAAUAGAAAGAUGUAGUAAAAAAAUAAUAAUAAAUUAUAGAAAGGAAGUAAAAAGUUUAGUCUUAAUACUACCUUUUAAAGAAGAGACUUGUAUUUACUUUAUAGGGGGUAUAGAAGCCUCAAAUCAAAGUAAAUGAAAUAAAUAAAUAAUAUAAGCAACUUUAAGAGAGUCUUCUUUGGCUAUCAAUUUUUUAAUAAUUUAAAAACAGACUUAAGAAAAAUUGAUAUCCAAAGAAGACCAAUUAUCAACUUGGAUUGAAAUGAGAUCCUAAGACACUAAACAGUGCGCCUAUGGCAACUCUAAGGUUCUUUUACAAAUUAAAGAGUAGAAUUUGAAAACAAACUUAAGGAAAGAGUUUUGAAUAUUAAUUUCAUGUUAUUUGGAUUAAUAUUGAAAUUUUGAAGAAUUUUUAAAAUUAAUAAUAUAUUUGGUAUAUUUAGAUUUUGAAAAAUAAAAAUACAUUUAUAAAUUUAAAAUUUUCUUGAGUUUUGUAGCAUAGGCACGAGUGAAAAUUAGGCAAUUUAUUUUUGUACUUGUUAUGAAUGUAUAAAAAAUUUGAGAACAAUCGAAUAGUAAGAUUGAAGCAUAUAAGAGUUUUUGUGGAUUAUAGUCUCAGAAAUUUGAGAUUUAAGAUCAAUGAGUGAUUCUAAGUUCUAAUAAUAUUUUCUAGUUGGAUUGAAGCAAAAAUUGGUGAGAGCAAUAAAGAUUUGAAUAUCUACACACAAUCCAAUUUUUGGAGCAAUUGAACAGUUCAGCAAGGAAAAAUUGGUGUUGAAAGAUCAACAUUCAAGUCGGAGAAGGAUUGUAGCUAAUGACUGAGAGGUUUUAUGAGAUUUUCUUGCUAUUGGUAUGUGCAAUCUUCUUCAAAUUUUUUAUACUUAUUGCUUACUUAGUUGGUACAAGGUAUGAAAAUUUUGAGUCAAAAUCAAUAGUUCAAUCAUUAGUUAUUGAAUUUUUAAUCUGCUAUAGGAUUAUUAAGAUAUAUUCAAGAUUCAGAAGUUGAUUAAGAAUUGAUUAAGGUUAAUUUAAGAUUUAAGAUUUAGUUAAAAUUUAAUUAAGAUUUCAUUAGGAUUUAGUAAGGAUUUAAGAUUUAUCUAAGAUUUGGUUAGAAUUUAGGAUUUUGUUUGGAUUUGAUUAAAAAUUAACUAAGAUUUAAAUAAAUAUUUGUGUACAAUUUAUGUAGGAUUUUUCUAAGUUUUGAAGAAGUAUUUACUAGGAUUUAUUAAGGUUGGUCUAGAAUUUAGGAUUUUAUUAGGAUUUGACCUAAGAUUUGGUUAAGAUUUAUUAGGAUUUUAAUUAGGAUUAAAUUAUGAUUUAAUUAACAAAUAUUUAGGAUUUAUUUAAAAUUUCUAUUUUUAAUAUUUCUUUAGUAUUUUUUAUUUUUUCUUUAAAUUUUUUUAUUUCUAAUAUUUUUUUAAGUUUUUUUUAUUCUUUUAAGAUUUUUUUUUAAAGAUUAAUUUAGAACUUCUUUAUGUUUUUUUUAUAACUUCUUUUAAAUUUAUUUUAGAUUGGUUAAAUUUUGAUUAGGAUUAUUAAAGAUUAUUUAAAUUUUAUGUAAGAUUUUAUGUCAAGGACAUGAAUCUCGAAGAAAGAAAAUCCUCAUUACACUUUUAUAUCACUGAAAGGAAUUAGAAAGUCACUCAAAGAUUAUAUAAUAUUGAACUAGAAUGGCUAUUGCCAAAAACAAGAAGAGUAGAAAGUCUUGAAACAAGACUAAGGACUAGAAAGGCAUUGAUAAGAGUGAAAAAGGCUUUACUCUUGCCUCCAUAUAUACUCUUAACUAGGAGCUAUGUGGUGAUAUUCUAUAGGACCUCCAAACCGUGUUAACUUUGCAAGAUACGUAUCUUAACUUGCAAGGUAAGUUUUUUAUAUGUGCGCCACAUAGUUAGCUUGUUUUGUAAGCUACAAACAUGUGGUUAAUUUGUUAACCAAGUUUCUAACUUACUAAUCAACUAUAAACUUAUACAAAGUCAAGUAGUAUCUAUGAAGCUAUUAGAAAGCUUCUCUAAAAGGUCUUAUGAAAUUAACCUACUUUUAUUCAUUUUUAUCUAUUCUUAUCUAAUCAUAUAAGUAUUUAUUAGAAUACUUAUAUAUGUCCGUAACAUUAUCCCCCUUUUUAGGGACAAGUUCCAUGAGAAGCAAUCUUCAUAUGUUGAAAAAAUCUAAGAUGUGGAGAAUUAUAUUUGCCACAUAAUUCAAUCUUUGUUCUCUUCGAAGAUGGUUGAUAGGCCUUUUCAACCAUUGAUAGUUUUCCAUAUCAAGAUGAGAAGACCACCUUGUUAUUUGGUCAUUGUUGAGGCCUUCGUAACUUCCUUUAAAUAAAAUAUUUUGAACACUAUCAGGACUUGUUCAUAUCUCUAAUAAAAUCACCAAACAUUGUGAGUCUCUUCCAAGGUCCUGAUACCAAAUAAGUUGUAUCUCACUAUCUAUUUGAAGAAGGACAUGUCGUUCUUGAGGAUCUUCAUUUUGAUUUUGUCGACUUGAAGGUUGUGACAAUCACAAUGUGUUAUCUGAUAAGUUUGCAAAUGAAAGCUUUUGAGUUGAAUUUACUAGUUGUUAGUUCUCUAUCUCUUCAACUACAUAAAACUAUAAAGAAUGAUAGAAAGUAAAGUAUUAUCUUCCUUUGGUCUUGUUUCUUUUAUAGCAAAUAUUUACUAUUUUUCAUCUUGGUUUUGAUGGAUGUUGUUGAUAGAAGGCUUCAACUCUCUUUGCUACAUUUGCAAGAUUCUUUGAUGGCUCCUAUAUGCGUUCACUAAUAUUAUAUCCAUGCUAAUGAACAAGAUAUUUCAACCUAUUUCGAUGCUGCCUUGAAUCUAAGACUUCUUCUACCUCCAACUCUUAAUUAUUAUCUACUUCUAUGUGAGGAGGUGGUAUUUUUCUUCUUCUCAAGAUAUUUAAUGUCUUAUAUAGCUUAAAAAGGGACACGUCAAAUGUAUGAUGGAUCUUCAUAGACUCUGAUAGAUGUAAUCGAUAAGCAACAAGAUUAAUUCAUUGACAAAUAGGAAAAGGUCUCAGCCUACAAUAGUCCAACUUAUCACAAAGAUAAGUAGUCUUGAUAUUGUGACAAAGUAACCAUACCUUAUUACUUACAUUAAAUUAUGAUUGCUCCUUGCAAUAUGUAUUUACGUUGGCCUUUUGUUGUUCUUGAGCUUCUUUUAAUUUUGUCUUUGUUGCUGUAUAUAACUCUAACAAAUAAUUUGCUAAAUCUUUUGCCAUAGGAUUAUCAACAUUUGAAAAGUCAAAAGUAUUAAGUUGUAGUUGAUAACCAUAAUUGACAAAGAAAGGUGUUAAUUGAAUGGAAGAAUGUAUUAAAUUAUUGUAUGCAAACUCUACCAAUGGCAAAAGAGUUGUCCAAUCAUCUUAAUAAUAGUUGAUGGUACAUCUCAAAUACUCUUCCAAAACUUGAUUCACAUGUUCUAUGUACCUAUCAAUUUGAGGAUGAAAAGUUGAAGAGAGCUUUAUAUCCAUUUUUAGAAUUUUGAAUAGGAUUUUUCAGAAUCUUAGUACAAAUUGAGUCCCCCUAUUUAAUAUAAUAUCUUUUGACAAUCCAUGAUAGUGAUAGAUAUUAUCAAUGAAAAGUUUAGUUGUUUCUUCAUUUAAAAUAGAUUUUAAAUAUGGUACAAAAUGUGCCAUUUUGAUGAAUUGAUCUAUAAUUAUGAAUAUAGAGUCAUAUAAACUUGAACUUCAAAGAAUUCUAAUAAAAUCCAUAGAAAUGAAAGACCAUGGUUGUUUAGAUAUAGACAAUGGUUGGAGAAGUCUAUAAGAUCAAUAGUGAAGAGUUUUUGAUCUUGAAUAAAUAUCACAUGACUGAAUAAAGUCUUUUACCGCCUUUCAUAUUUGUAGCCACUAAAAAUCUUUAGAUAUAAGAUCUAAAGUCUUAUUGUAUCCAAAAUAUUGUAUUGCUUGAAAGACAUGAUGUGCUUGAAGAAAAUAUAAAUGUACUUCUCUUUUUGAAACAUAUAGGCAUCCUUUGAAAUAGAAUAGGUUGUUCUUGAAUUUGAACUUUGUAAUAUCAUGAAACUUAGAAGAAAGUUUUUAUUGAUAUCAUAAAUAAGAAGAUCAGAGGAUAUACUUGAUUGAAUUUAUUUGACAAAGGUCAAAUCAACAAUCAAUGUUGAUUCUAUUGCUCAAAGAUAAAAAUGCUCGAGCUUCAAGAAGAUUGUUUUUUAUUUAUCAAAAGAUACAUCUCUUUCUUUUCGUGCAAGAUAAAAGGGUCUACAAAGAGCAUCUGAUUUUUUUUUAGGUCGAUAUGUGAUUUUGAAAUCAAAUCUUAAUAAAGAUAUGUUUCAAUAGACUUGGCAACAAAUCAAAACACGUAUUGACAUGAAAUACUUGAGGUUCUUGUGAUUUAUAUACAUUAUGAUUAGACUUAUAGUGCCUUUAAAAUAAUGAUGCCAUUCUUAAAAUGAAUUCACAAUUACAAAAAGUUUCUUGUCGUAGAUCUCAUAGUUAAUCUCAGCUACUAAAAAUUUUUUAGAAUAGAAAGCUACUAGAUGGAAUUUGUCAUUUGUUCCUAUUUGAGACAAUACUUCAUAUAAAGCAAAGUCUAAUGCAUUUGUAACCAUAAAGAAUACCCUGGAAAAAUUGAUGCAAUACAAAGUUGGUACAGAAGUAAAUUUCUUCUUCAAAGUAACAAAUGAUGCUUCAACUUCUUUAUUCCACUUAAGUUUUUCUUUACAAGUCAAACAUGUAAGUGGAGCUACAACUUGAAAAAAGUUCUUGAUAAAGAUUUGGUAAUAAUUGGCAAAGCUCAAAAAGCAUUGCACAUGUCUUAUUAUUCUUGAGAUCUUCUAAUUUAUGAUAGUUUGGACCUUCUUUGAAUCUAUUAUAAGGCCUUCAUUGUAAAUGAUAUAUUUCAAAAAGCCAACUUGAGUAGUGUGGAAUACAAACUUUUUUAUCUUUGCAUAUAAUGUUGCAUCUAUUAAUUUUUGUAAUACAUGACAAACAUGAAUUUUAUUCUCUUUUAUAUUUUUAGAAUAGAUUAAAAUAUUGUCUAAAUAAUAGACAACAAAAUUAUCAAGAAACUUGCAAAAAAAAUCAUUCAUUAGAUGUUGAAAAGUAGUUGGUACAUUUGUGAGUCCAAAAGGCAUGACAUUAUAUUCAAAAUAUCCAUACCUAGUUUGAAAAGUAAUCUUCUAUUCAUCUCCUUCUUUGAUGUAGACUAGAUUAUAUGUUCCUUGUAGAUCUAUUUUUGUAUAGUCUUUGCUUCAUUUAGUUGAUCAAGAAGUCUUAAAAUCAAAGGUAGAGGAUACUUAUUCUUGAUGGUGAUGUUGUUAAAUCCUCGAUGAUCCACACACAUCUACAGAGAUCCAUCUUUUUUCUUCACAAAUAAGUUAGAAGUACUAGCUGAAGAUUUAUAAUGGCAUAUAAAAUUCUUAGUCAAGUUUUUAUCAAUAUAUUCUUUGAGUGCAGCCAAUUUACUUUGUGAUAGGCUAUAAAUUGGUUCAAAUGGUGGUUGAGUUCUUUCUUGAAGAUCAAUGGAACAAUCAAAGGACAAUAUUUUGGAAGAAUAUCUGCAUUCUUCUUUUAAAAAAUGUCUUAGAAAUCUUGAUACUAGCUAAGAAUACUACUUAAUAUCUUUUCACCAAUAGCAAUGGACAUGGCAUAUAUAGCAAAAGAUGGCCCUUCAUUUGUAGCAUGCAUGAAAAUUCUCAUACCUACCAAUAAGAGUUUGGAUAUACUAGAGUUAUGAAUUUCUACUUGCCUAAUAGGACCUUAAGCUAAACUAUAGAAGAAAUUAAGAUUGUAAGAAAUUUAGUCCAUCUAAGGGUUAUAACUUUUUAACUACAAUAACCUUAAAUGAUUGAAUUAAAAAGAAAUUUAAUCAUAUUAAAUAUUAUUAAAAUAUUAUGACUAGUAGUUGCUACUUCUUUAGAAAUAGUUUCAUGUGUAAUAUCUCCAAAAGAUAAUAAACGUCCAUCUAUUACUUCUACAUAGACAAAUUUGAUUUUUUAAACUAAGGAUAUAUCUUAUUUUUUUCAUAAAGUCUUUAUCUAUAAAACAAGCUGAGGUUCCAAAAUCCAACAAGACUAAGACUUUGUGAUUUUUCAAUCCUAAACAAACUUCUAUUGUAAAACAAGAUGAAGAAUCAAAGGAUAGAAUAGAACCUUUUGUCAAAGACAUGAACUAAAAGAUGAUGUAUAAACCAAUGAAAUCCAUGUCAAUAAAAGAGUAACAAAAUAGAAAUAAGGAAGUAUGUAUAUUAAAAGAAAUUAAAAAGGCUUAUUGCCAAAAGAUAAGAAAACUUGAGACUCUUGAAACUAGACUAAAAGCAAAAAAUGAGUUGACAAGAGUGAAGAGGACUUCACUCUUGUCUCUAUAUAUACUAUCUAAUUAGGGGCUACAAGACAAUGUUCUAUAGACUUCUAAUAUGUGUUGACUUUGUAGGACACAUGCCUUGACUUACAAGGCAAGUUUUUUUACAUGUAGGCCACAAAGUUACCUUCAUCUUUAAGCUAACAACAUGUGUGGCACAUGGCCAACUUGUUGACCACAUUUCUAAUCCAAAAAUUCAAUUAAAGACACCUAUAAAAUCAAAGCAACAUCUAUAAAGCUUCUAGAAAGCUUCUAUAGAAGAUAUUAUAGAAUUAACUUACUUUUAUUUAUUUCUAUUUACUUCUACCUAUUUAUACAGGUAAUUACUAGCUUAUAUGGAUAUGUCCAUGACAUUAUCCUCCCUUCUAAGAACAAGUUCUACGAAGAGCGAUCAUCAUAUGUUGAAAAAAUUUAUGAUGUAACAAAUUGUAUUCACCACAUACUCAGAUCUUUGUUCUGUUCAAAGAUGGUUGAUAGGGCCUGUCAACCAUCAAUAGUCUCCCAUACUAGGGUGAGAAGACCACCCUAUUAUCUGAACAUUGUUGAGGCCUUCAUAACUUCCUUCAAAUAAAAUAUUUAGAACAUUGUUAGGAGUUGUUUCUACCUCUAAUAAAAUUACCAAAUACUUGGAGUUCCUUCCAAAGUCAUGAUAUCAAAUGCGUUGUAUUUUACCAUCUAUUUGAGGAAAAACAUAUCAUUCUUGAGGAUGUGCAUCUUGAUUACAUCGUCUUGAAGGUUGUGAUAAUUGUAAUGUCUCGUCCAACAAGCCAACAAACAAAGGAUUUUUGAGUUGAAUCCCCUAGUUGUUGGUUCUCCAUCUCUUCAACAUCACAACUAUAAAGAAACUACAAACAAGGAUUAAAAAUAGAAUGUUAUCUUACGUAAAUCUUAUUUCUUUUAUAAGAAAGAUUUUCAUCUUUAUUUUGAUGGAUGUUAUUGAUGAAAAGCCUCCAUUGCCUUUGUUGCAUUUGUAAGAUUCUUUAUUGGCUCCCAUGUGCUUUCACUAAUAUUAUUUUUGUGCCAAUGGACAAGAUGUUUUAAUUUAUUUUGAUGUCCCUUGAAUCUAAGACUUCUUUGACUUUGAACUCUUUAUUAUUGUCCACUUCUAUAGGAGGAGGUGGAGCUUGUCUUCUUUUUGGUAUGUCUGUUGUCUUGUAUGGUUCAAGAAGAGGCACGUGGAAUACUGGAUGGAUUUUCAUUGACUCCAAUAGGUAUAAAUAAUAUGCAACAGGAUUGAUUUGUAUAGAAAUAGAAAAUGGUCCAAGUCUUUGAUAGUCCAACUUGUCACAAAAACGAGUGGUCUUGAUAUUGCGACAAAAUAAUUAUACCUUAUCACCCAUGUGGAAUAGUGGUUGUUCCUUUCAAUAGACAUUUGCAUUGACCUUUUAUUGUUCUUGAGCUUCUUUUAACUGCGCCUUUAUUGUUGCAUGUAGCUAUGACAAAUAAUUUACCAAAUCUUUUGCCAUAAGAUUAUUAGCUUUUGAAAAGUCAAAAGUAUGAAGUUAUGGAUGAUAACCAUAAUUGGCAAAAAAAAAUAUUUUUUUUAUUGAAGAAUGUAUCGUGUUAUUAUAAACAAACUCUGCCAAUGGCAAAAGAGUUGUUCAAUCAUCUUGUUGGUAGUUGAUAGUACAUCUUAAAUAUUGCUCCAAAACUUGAUUAACACGCUCCAUUUGUCCAUUACUUUGAGGAUGGAAUGUCGAAGAUAGUUUUAUAUCCACUUUUAGAAUCUUAAAAAGAGUCUACCAAAAUCUUGAUACAAAUUAAGUUCCCCUAUCUAAUAUAAUAUCCUUGGAUAAUCCAUGAUAGCGAUAAAUAUUGUCAAGAAAGAGCUAAGCUGUUUCUUUACUUGUGAUAGAUUUUGUACAUAGUACAAAACGUAUCAUCUUAAUAAAACAAUCUACUAUCACGAAUAUAGAGUCAUAAGAACCUAAGAUUGGAAGAUCUGUGAUGAAAUCCAUAGAAACAAAAGAUCAUGCUUAUUCUAGAAUAGGUAAUGGUUGAAGAAGUCCAUAAGGUCGAUGACAAGGAGUUUUUGAUCUUGAAAAAAUGUUGCAUGACUGAACAAAGUCUUUCACACCCUUCCACAUUUGUGGCCACCAAAAAUCUUUAGAUAUAAGCUCCAAAGUCUUGUUGUAUCCAAAAUAUUUUAUUGCUAGAAAGUCGUGACAUACUUAAAGAAUAUAUAAUCAUACUUUUUCUUUUGGAACAUAUAAUCAACCUUCAAAAUUGAGUAGGUUGUUUUUGAACUCAAACUUAGAAGUAUCUUGAGGCUUAAAAGAAGGAUUCUUGAUAUUGUGAAUAAUAGGAUGAGAAGACAUACUUGAUUGGAUUUAUUUCAUAAGGGUUGAAUAAACAGUAAAUUUUGAUUUCAUUACUCAAAGAUGAAAAUGCUUUGGCUUCAAGAAAAUUAUUCUUUGUUGAUCAAAAUAUGCAUUUCCUUCUUUUGGUAUAAGAUAAGAAUGUCUAGAAAGGACGUCUGACAAACCUUAUUAUUUUUCGGGUCAAUAUGUGAUCUUGAAAUCAAAUCUUGAUAAAGACAUGCUCUAAUAGGCUCAGCAACGAUUCAAAACACAUGUUGAUAUAAAGUACUUAAGGUUCUUGUGGUCCGUAUAUACGGUGAUUGGAUUGAAAGCGCCUUCUAGAUAAUGAUGCCAUUCUUGAAAUGAAUCCACAAUUGUAAGAAGCUCUUUCUCGUGGAUUUCAUAGUUAAUCUCGACUGCUAAAAUUUUUUUGAAAUGAAAAGCUACUAGAUGAAGUUUAUCAUAUGUUUUUAUUUGUGAUAAUACGGCACCCAAAGUAAAAUCUGAUGCGUAUGUUUCCAUAAAAAAUACCUUAGAAAAGUUGACAUGAUAGAAGAUUGGUGUAGAAAUAAAGGUCGACUUUAAAGUUUCAAAAGAUACUUCAACUUCUUUGCUCCACUCAAAUUUAUCUUUGUAAGUCAAAUGUGUAAGUGGGACUGCAAUUUGAGAGAAGUUUUUGAUGAAGAUCUCAUAAUAAUUGAUAAUAUAUAAUUAUGGAUUAUACAUUCAAAAUAAAUAAAUUUAAAAUAUCCAUGCUAUAUAUUGUAGAUGUAACAAGUUUCAAUAUGUUCUUUACAAUUGUUGUUCCACUUUUCUAAGAAGAAAUACAACUAUUCUUUUAUUUGAUGUUGAUACAUUUUGUUCUAUUGUAUGGAGCAUUGUAGUCCAUCAAUGUUAGUGCUUAUAAGAACUUUGUACUCAUAAAUGCCAUCAAAGAUAUUUUUCUCACAUUUAAGAUUUUGCUUUAUAUUUUUUACAUUCAAAAAAAUAUAUUGGCUAAUUGCAAAAAAUAUUUUUUAUUCAAGGAAAAUGGUAGUUGAUCUGGCUUUCUUGCAAAUGGAAUAAGAUAAUGAAUUCUUCUUUGGAAGAAGUUUUUCGAUAUAGAAUAGAUAAACUUCUACAUUAUGAUUGUUUAUGCUCCUAUAAAUAAAGCUAUUGCAUAUCUUCAAAAAACUUAGAUUCUUUAUAAGAAAUAAUUUGUCAAAUUUUAAACAGAUAGUACUCUCCAUCUUCAUUAAGUGAUUACAUUGCAUGCAAAAAGGCAAGUUUCUAUCUUAAAGUUAUACAUCAAAGUUUCUACAAAAGAUCUUUAAAAUAUGUAGAUUUUUUUUAUCUAUCUUUUUUAAUGAUACAAUCAAAGAAAUUAAGACAUAAGAAAGUUUUGAAUGCUUGCAUGCAUGCUACCCCCACAACAUCAACUUUUUUAAGGAUGUUAUUAUAAAGAUGUCAAUACAUACUUUUAAUCUUAUAUUUGUAUAGUUUCAGUUUGCUACAACAUGCUUGGAUACUAACAAAAGUCCUUGUUUAUAUAUAUUUACAACCACAUUUGGACUCCCUUCUCAAUAUUAAAUUAGGACAAUGUUACAUUAUUGAAAGAUAUUGAUGAUUGGUGAAUUUGUUACUUUUGAUGGCUGAAUGCACUCUAAGCAGAAUUGUUGUUGCUAUCAAAUUAGACAUUAUCUUCGAAGAAGUUGGUUGAAUAUAUGAGCUUAUUCCAUCCCACCAACAAUUGAAGGUACACAAAAGGCUCUUAGAACUAGCAAAAAUGACUAUAGUUUUAAAGAACCUUCCAAUAAGCCAUCCAAAAGGUUGUCUACAUAGGUCAAAAAAUAAAAUGAAUCUAUAUUCUAUAUAGUGAUUUUCUUCACAAUUAAAACAUGUAAAAGGCACAAGUGUAAAUAUGCACUAUUACGAAAAUUACAAAAGCAUUGAGCAUAAUAUUUGCACUAAUUCUUAUAGUGUUCAUGCUUCACAACUUUUUAUUGUUACAUCAUCAACUAAGUUGAGUUCAUUGCUAAUUGACUUGAAUUCAUCACCAAUUAGCUUGGAUUCAUCAUCAAUUCACCUAGAUUAAUAGCAAAGGUGUUUUAACUUCAUUUGAGAACAUUUCAAGUUUAUAAUGAUCCAAUAGAUAAGUAGUUUGAAUGCAAGUUUAAAUUGGAUUUCUAUUCUAAUAAGCUAAUAUAAUUUGCUUUGUGCUUAUGUGCUAAUAAAAACUUAUAUACUUAUAUAAAUUGAUAUGAUUUAUAAUUUAAUAUAAAUAAACUAAAUUUAUGCUUAUGCAAGCUACUAUAAUCCUUUCAUCUAAACUCUCAUUGUUCAAUAUCUAUGAAUAUUAAGUAAUAUGUCUUGGUAUAGAUGGAAAUAUUUAUGAUUAUAUUUCCAACAUCCUCUACAUUUAUGCCCCUAAACAUUACAUGCAAUGCCACAAGUGCAUGUACUUUGUCAUUUAUAAGAUUUUCUAUGGCUUUCUUGUAGUACGUAAAAAUAAUCAAUAUAAUAUUUGACCAAUACAAUUUGUGACGAUUGGCUAUAUAAUAUGUAAUAUUACAAAAAUAAUCAUUCCAAAAAAGGAACAAACUUUUUUUUGAACAAGUGUUCAAUUCCAUAAAAUCAAACAUAUACAUACAUAGCUAGCAUCUAAAAGCUUUCUUCAAAGACAAACAUUUGAUAAGUGGAUAUAUAAAUAAAUUAAAAAGGUAACUUAUAGAAUAAAUUAUAUUAUUUUUUUUUUUAAUUUGGCUUAUUAAAAAAAAGAAAAAAAAAAUAAAUUGGAAUUCAAGGCCUUAUAGGAACUUACACACUCAUAUUAUCAACCUUGAUUUUGCAGAUUAAUUCAUGUUGGUUAUCUAAUUUAAAGAACUUGAGUUUGAUAUUAGAAGUAUUAUAUUAGACACAAUCUCAUAUAACUAAAAUUAAUAAAUCUAAUAGCUAUAGCAAGGAAAUAUUUUAUUAAAAUAAUCCUUUAAAAUUACAAAUCUGAUCCUUACAAGUAAACUUUUCACAUAGACAAGUGUUGUUUACAAACUAUGCAACUUAGAACUAUGCUUAGUUUUAUCCACACGCUUGCAUGCACUUUCAGCAUCUUCUACUUGGCUAUUCUAGACAAGCCUCUUCAUUGGCAAGAUCUCAUACAACAUCAUUCCAUGCACCUAUACAAAACACAAUACCUCAUCCUCACUAAGUUGGCACAAUCUUCCUUGUUUGAACAUAUUAUUGAACUCCUUCUUUAAAUUCCUUAGUUAUACUAGUAUAGAAUUAUAUUACCUACCAUAGUAGUAUGCAAGGCUAAGAUUCUAUUAUCAUUUGGCCAUUAAAAGUUAUGAAGAUUGUGUAUCCAAAUCAAUCAAUGAUAAAAUAGCAAAAGAUAAAAAGAGUGGCAAUCAAAAUCUUAGGAAAGAUCUCAAAAUCUUGCUUCUCAAAUUGACCAUAUCAUUCCUAUUCAAAGACGUUGAAAAUGGUUUCACUUAUUUUAUAUUAUAUCUAAAAUUAAGGUUUAAAAGAAUUACACACUCAAAGCAAUUGACAAUAGAAACUUACUUAGAUAUUGAUAUUUAAGCAACAAAUUGCUAAAGCCAAAGUUUAGUAGCAUUUUGUGAAUCUAGUCUUUUUGAAUUAAGAGCAUUUUAGAAUCUUCAAGAAUUUAAAGAAUGCAACAAUUAAAGUAUGAUUUUUUUUUUAAAUGGCUUUUUUAAGAACUUGCAAGUUUUCAAGAUUCUAAGAUAGAGCAUACUCAUCCAAAACUUGGUCUCAAAUAUCUACAUUUUGAUUAUCCAAUACAUCUAGUUUCAUAAAGUGAAAAUGAGAAACCAAAAAAGACAUGAAACAAGUAGCAAGAUUGAAGUGUAAUCUGUUUAUAGAUUAUGCUCAAAAAAAUAGCAAUUCCUUUUGAAGAAUAUUUGAGGAAGUCAGAGUGAGGCAUCUCAAUGCUGCAUUAGAUAAGCUCAAUAGUGCUCUUAUAAUUUACAAUGAAGAUUUGAAUAUAGAGUGUUGUAUUACAAGGCAAGUCUAUAUUGAAUUUAAUUCUAUUCAAUAUCAUUGUUAUCACUAGCAAUGCUUCAGCAAAUAAUACACAAUGCAUUAGUAAAAUAUCUAAGAACAACCAUCCAUGAUUAAUCCAAUUGAUCUUCUAAUAAUAUUUGUAGUAAUAUGUUGCAUCUUAACAAUUUAUUAUCCAAUUUUGGAUUCAUAUAGAUAUUGUUGUGAUCAAAUAGUGAUAUUUUUUUUUUUGCAGUUUUGAUUAAAAAAAAAUAUAUAUAUAUAUUGAAUUAAUGGCUAGCCAUUAAUUUAACAUUCUUCCAUAUUUAUAUCUAUAUCUAUUAAGAUAUUAGUAUAAUAAGAUUUGAAGAUAAAUUAUAUAAGUAAUAUUAAUAAUUUUAACAUAUUUUUUAAAAAAUAAAAAUAUAUAUAUAUAUAUAUAUAUAUAUAUAUAUAUAUAUAUAUAUAUAUAUAUAUAUAUAUAUAUAUAUAUAUAUAUAUAUAUAUAUAUAUAUAUAUAUAUAUAUAUAUAUAUGUUUAUUCUUAGAUUUUAUAAAAAUUAUCUUUUGGCUUUAUUAAUAAUUAUUAAAUACUCAAGUUUCAAUAAAAAUAUGCUUUUAUUAAAAAUUUAGAAUAAAUAAUUAUUAAAAAAAUCUAUUUUUAUUUAAAUUAUAUUUAGAUGGUAGAAAAAUAUUUAAGAUUUUAUUUUAUUAUUAGUGGUAGAUCUUAAUUAAAAAGAAAAAAAAAUCUUAUUUUAAUUUUUUUAAAUCUUACAUUUAAUUCAUCAAAUUUUAUUAUCAAUUUAUUCAUCUAAUGCAAUACUCUACAAUAUCCACAUUGUAUAUUCAUACUUUUGACAUUUUGGUGUUUUUAAUUAUUUAAAUUUAAAUAUUUUUUUAAUAAUAAAUUGAUAUUUUAUAUACAUAAAUAUAUACAUACAUAUUUUCAACAAUGAUUUUUCUUGUUGUUGGAUAUGUUUUAUUCAUAAUUCAAUGUGUUCUUCUUUUUAGUAUAAUUGUGCUACUUCUACUAAAUUUCUUCAUCAAUCAACUAUGUUAUUUAGUUACUUCUUAUAUAUAUAUAUAUAGAUAUCUUAUAAAUGCAUGUUACUCAAGAUCUUUAGUUAUUAUUACUUUUAGAUUAGAAAAAACUAAGAUUGAAUUCGGACUUAAAAAAGAAAUAAAUUUAAUUUGAUCAAAUAAGAGUUCAUUAAUUUUAUUUAUUAAUAAUAAAUAACACCAAAAGCAUUGUUAAAAAAAUAUAAGAUUUAAAAACUUACACAGGUAUUGUAAUAAAAAUCAAAUAUAUAAAUAUAUAAAUAUAAAAAAAAUAACUAUAUUAAAUUUUAUAUGUAGUAGUCAAAUAAUAAAAUCCAGUUCAAUCAAUUUAUUAGUUUUUUUAAAUAUUUUAACUUUGUAUUUUAAAAAAAAUUGCUUGAAAUGUAGAUUGCAGUUUUUUAUUUUUUAUUUUUUAUUUUCUCUAUCUUCUGUUCUUUCUCUUCCCCCUACACUUCAACCAUCUUUUGGUGUAUAUGUGCAUAUAUUCUCCUUGUGUAAAUGCUUACUUUUAUCAUUAAUAUCUUCUAAUAUUGUUACCAAAUUAAGCAAUAUUUUUUAGCAUGAUAUAUAUAAAAUUUGGCUAAAUAGGCACUACAUAUAUAUGUAGAAAGCAACAACUAUGCAAAUCAAGUUUCUUGCUUAAAAAUCAUCUUCAAUGGCAGCUUCACCAAACUUCUUAUUCUAAUUAAGAAAGAAAUUUUUUUCAAGACAUUAUAAAAAUUAAAUUAUUCAUCAAAGUAUUUAUUUGGUUGUAAAUCAAGAUAAUAUUUGAAUUGAAAAUGAAUUAAAAUGUAAAGAAAAAAAAAGAUACACAUAUAUCUUACUUAAAAUAAUAACAUAUGUAUUAUUGAGAAAAACUUUGGACAACAAUAGAGUAUAUUAUUGCUUAAUAUGUAAAAUUUCCAUAAAUAAUAUGAUUAUAUCUUAUUAAUAACCUUUAUAAUUUUUUUUGUAUUUUAACCUAAAUUUUAAAAACCAAAUACUAAAAAUUUAAACUUAAAUAUGUUAAACCUUUUAUAUAAGGGCAAUGUUUCUUUUAUAUUGUUCUUAUAUACAAUAUAUUUGAUUUUGAUAUAAGUAUAAAAAUAGACACAUAUAAAUCUUUAAUCUUUCAAAAAAAUAUAUAAAAUAUAUCUAUUUUACUUUUAUCAUGAUACUAAUCAAAAUAUUUUAUUUUUUAGAAAAUCUAAGAUGAUAUCUAGUAAUUGGUGUUGAUUAUUAUAGAAUAUAAAAAUCUUUUAUAAUUUUGAUAUGUAAUUAGGUAUAACAUGUAGAUAUUUUUGUAAAUAAAAAAUUAAGAUCUAAUAUAUUUACAAGUUUUCUAUUUUCAGUAAGUGAUUGUUUUAUAAUUUUAUUGGGCAGAAAUUUAAAUAACAUGUAUUUAAAUUAUAAAAACACCAAAUAAAACAAGUUUUUUUUAUUUACUUUAUCUUUUUUUAUUUGCUAAUAUAUUGAUUAUGCAAAAAAACUAAAAUAUUUAUCAAUCAAAACUCCUUGUAUAUUAUAAAAGUUUGAGAUAAGCAACACUUUAUUUCACAAAUAUUUGAACACUUUAUGUCACAAAUUAUAUAUAAAUAGAAUAAAUUUUUAUAUAUUAAUAGAAUGUGAAAAAAAUACUAUCAUUAUUAGAAAAUUAAAACUAAAAAAUAAUGAUAGUAUUUUUUUCACAUUCUAUUAAUAUUAAAAUAAUGAUAGUAUUUUUUUCACAUUCCAUUGAAAUAACACUUAAAAGCUACAAAGCUUUCUAAUUUACAUGUGCUUAAAUUUGUCACAAAAUAUGUUUAAAAAAAAAAAAACAAAACAAAACAAAACAAAACAAACAAACAAACAAAAAUUGAGAAGUUAUACAUGAAUCUAUAUUUUUCCAUUGCUAAUCAAAAUUUUAUCUCCAAAAAAUUCUAGUUUUCAUAAUUAAAAAAAAGGAGAAAAUAUCAUGCAUACCUCUCAAAUAUGUCGAAAUAUCAAGAAUACCCCUAUUUUCUUGAUAAUAGCAUAUAUACCUCUAAAUUUUUUUGAUAAUAGUAUAUGUACCCUCCACCUUGAUAAGGUAUUAGAAAUCUGACAAUUCCACUAAAUGUGCCAAAAAAAAAAGAGGGUCCCGCAAAGUGUGCACUGUCGGGCAGAUUGGAGAGUGCCGCAGCUGCCCGACAGUGCACAGCGAGCGGCUCUCUCCGCCCGGAGCAUCCCGCCCACCGUCCCCUGACCAUGUGUCAGCACUGUCCUUGGACGAAACUACACUCUGUGCAACCUUAUUAAUCUCCUCCACCUUGCCUCCGGAGACGCCAUAGCACCUACCAGCGCUUGUGCUCGCUCAAGCUCUUCGCCCUCUUUUCUCAAAAAACCUUAACUACUCCCUUCUAACACUGCACUGACUGGUAAGGAGAGUGAGUAGGGCACGAGAAGAGAGGUAAUCAAUGUACGUUUCUGACGCUCUGAGUCAGUGAUCCCUCUCAUAUGUCCAAAUUGAGAACUGGAUUGUCGUCCUCAAUUUCCUGCGUAAGGAAUUCAUUACAGACAACCAGGGUGUAGCUUAUUCAAUGAUGCGCGAAGAAUGUUCCUUCUAUAUCCAGCAACAGAGAAUGUCGAUAACCACACUUCACAUGAAGAUUUGUCUCGUUUGGUCCGCAAUGACCAUAAACCACCAGAGGAUGGCCAGACAUUGUUCACAGUGAGGAUUCAAUUCACAGUCACUUGCUUCACGUGGAGAAAAGAAAAACAGUUGACCCAAGAGAAUACACGGAUUCUGCCUGCGUUCAAUUCUCUGCGUUCUAUGAGCUGAAUGCUUGCAUGGACCAGCCUUUUCAUACGAUUAGUUAUUUAACAGUUCAUUACAAGCAUCAUUAUCCAUUUGUUAUGGAUCUCAUGUUUCCCACCCAUUGUUUGAGAACGUUGGUCAAAAAGGUCCAUUUUAGUACUUCGAUGUUGAGGGGUUUCUGAAUUCUAAAACUAAUUUUUAGCAACAAUGCAGAGCAACAAAUUCCCAGGUGAUAUCUGCUAAAACCUUCCUAACAACGCAUAUCACGUGGUGAAACUGUGAGUCUUUGUGGACCUUGCUGGAAGAGACUGUGAUGAUUUUGAGUCCCAGCAAAUGUGAUAGAACACAAUGAAAAUAAUCCACUUAAAUUAAACGAUCUAAACUCAAAUCUAUACAAUGUGAAGUUCUCCUUGCGGUUUCAAGUUCGGGUUCCGUCGAGGAUUCAUGUCAACACACGAGAUGGAAGCGGCGUCCUCGUCGUCUUCACAUGUGAGCCAUUUUGCGGCUUCAGGAUUCUUAACAUCAAUUUCGAGGUUAAGAACCGGCCAUGAACCACCAUUGUGAUACGACCAAGCUCAGCACACAAUCCACAAUGUGCAUCAGUGUAUUCUUACAUGCUAGAAUGAAGGAAUUACUCCAAGGCAUUUCCCAAAGUAAACCAUUGAAAAUCUGUGUGCGCGGGUUGCAAGUUCCCUAUGAAAUAGCCUCCCUGCUCUAGCAACCAGUCAAGCAACCACUGGGGUUCUCGUCCGCAGCUGGAUGGAGAGUUGUCGAAAUUCUAGAGUUGUCACAAAAGCAAGAUGUCAGCGGCAGUUAAAGAAGACACGAAUUCGUGAGUUAAGCCUUCGGAAGCUGUUCCAUCCUACCUUAAUGAGGUUGCACACAGUGUAGUUUCGUCAAAGGACAGUGCUGACACAUGGUCAGGGGCACGGUGGACGGGAUGCUGCGGGGGGAGAGAGCCGCACGAUGUGCACUGUCGGGCAGCUGGGGCACUCUCCAAUCUGCCGGACAGUGCCCACUAUGCGGGACCCCCUUUUUUUUUUUUAGCCCAUAAGAAAAACAUAUUAAUGGAAUUGUCAGAUUUCUAAUACCUUAUCAAGAUGGAGGGUACACAUACUAUUAUCAAAAAUUCCAGGGGCAUGUAUGCUAUUAUCAAGGAUAUAGAGGUAUUCUUAAUAUUUCGACAUAUUUGAGAGGUAUGUAUGAUAUUUUCCCAAAAAACAAGUUAUAACUUGUAUACAAUUUUAGUAAGUAAAACCUUCAUGCUAGAUACUGAAUUUUCAGCAAAUAUCGAGUUAAUUCUAACUAAUACGGUGUAAUUCGAUACCACGCAUAAUGCUUAUCAGAGUAUUAUGUGUAUUUUACAGUAUAGAGUAGAGCAGUUGAGCUGCGGGUCGAAGAGGGCCUGGAGCUUGUUUCCUAACCGUCGCAGGUGGAAAGAGCUGCGGACGAUGGCUAUGGCGAUGGCGCCAAGGGAGCACAAAGCUCUUCCAUCGAAAAAGGUUUGUAGAAUGCUCCCCGCUUGUGUAGUCGUCUGGCAUUGUCGUUCACAGCGACAACAACUGAUUAGGGAUGUCGGGAGGAUGUCAGGUAGCUAAGUCUCGGUCUUUCUGACGCUCUCAUCAUGCUGUUCAGCCAUGGCAUCGAGUUUUAUGCGAUCGUCUUCGACAGGGCCGAUUUCGUUGUGGGCUGACUGGAGCUUGAGGUGGCAAAAUCGCGCGAGGUUUGUUGUCUCAUCGUCUUGUUCUUCAACUUUGUGCAGCUUAGAGAACGACUGAACAUCUUUCUCUCUCGCAGCGAUGCUAUCUUGUGGAUUGAAGUUGAUGUCGAGCGUAGGUGUGUGCGAUGGACAUGGCUUCUCUUGAUGUACUGGUACAGUAGUGGUAGCAUGGAUCUUCAAAGUCGUUAACAUUGUAGGAUCUUCGUAAGAGGUUGUGGAACUUAAUGAAUGGCUUGUACACUGAAGCCAGAAGCCGCAAUAAUCAAUCUCAAUGUAGCCUUCUGGAUUAGAUAUCGGACCGUAGCUUGACAGAUCAUCCCCCGCCCAUCCCCCGCUCUCGUUCACUUCUGUUGAGAAGAAUAGUGAGUUGGGCAUUGGAGACCACAUUGCGACUGAAUUCACCUCUUUACCAUUCCAGUACCAUUUCAAACCCCCCGGUUGAUGCAACACUCCGAAAGUCGCCCAUGCUGAGGAGGCGACAGGGAGAUUCAUCAAUUUGUACGCACUCGAGCGAUGAUUGGCGCCAUAUCCACCCCAGUGCACCGCUGUACUCCCUUGCGUAGAAAUGUCAUUCCCUCCGCUGUCUUUGGCCCGAUGCUCCACCACGUCCACUUCAAUCCCGCCGACUAUUUCUCCAGGCGGUACAGCGUCGGACACCAUCGCUUCCGGCAGCAGCCAAAACGCGCUAUGCAUCCCCGACGCUCCCUUGAACCUGCAGCGCGACUCGUAAUAACCAUAACCAAAUUGCUGCUUCGUGGCCAAGCGAUCAAUUCUGUGGAACCAGUCGGACCAAACGCUGACACGCAGAAUUGAUUUUCCGCGGCUCGUGUCUUGCACUAUCGACGAACAUGCCGGAUCCCAGUGGAUCUCUUUGUUGGACGCUGCAUCCCAUUUCCACUUACCCUUCCCCAUAGGAUGCCGAAAGUUCGUGUCUAAUGUGUAACCUGAUCCUGUGAAGUCGUCCCAGAACUUAUUCGUCCAUCGGUUCCCAGCAGUUGGUGGAAUAGAUGGCUGAUGAGUCAUGCUCAAGGCCAAUGCAGUUACAAUGUCGCAAUAGUUAGCUGCCAAACCUCUGCCUUCGACUGAUUCCUAAGGUCGGAUUCUUGCAGUGUGUUCUGCAUCACUUCAAACUAUUUCUUCAGUCGCUAGCUACUCAAUUGAUUGCAGUUCAAGUACGUAUUCCAUACAUCCGCUGUGAAUGAAAGCCUUACCCUUAUUGUUCAAUCCACGCCACCUGUAUUAAAUUCACAUGCUUCCUUUGGGAACAACCUAGCGCUGCAACAGAUUGUGAAAUUUGAUUUCACACCUCAUUACUAACUGACAUUCUGUGAUAGUAGUUAGUUCUACCCAAUGAAAUUCUCCAUUCCUAUGUCUCCUGAGAUUCCUUAUCGAUCGAAAUACUCUUCUAAACCUUUCUAUUUCCCUUUUGAUCGGCCGAGAUUUGUGUUCAAGCUUCUCUGUGUGCGACAUUUAGGACUGUUUCCUGCGGUAAUUAUUUCGACGACGGCGGCUUUGGAUCGACCAUGGCAUGGGCAGGUACAGUUACAUUAUAUCAGCACUUAUCGUAGUGAAGCGAUGUCUUUAAUACCACAUUUGUUGCUGACAAUCGUCGAGAGUUUGUGAAGGUAUUCAAAACCUGGUCGAGAUCAUGUUGAAAGCUCCAGACUAGAUUUUAGAUAAGUUUCGGAUAUGAAACGCUGUACCAUACCAAUCACUCUGAACUCAGAAACCUCCUCAAACUUAGAAACUCAGAAACCACCUGACUUCGAUUACUGGACCUUUCACCCGCCUGAACCUGUAGCAAUUCCCAACAUUUCAGAAUCACUUUAGCCAUCUAAAGCAACGAGAGCUCGUUUUAUCAAGUUUGCAAUGUGAGAAAGACACCUGCAAGUUUACCACAAUUUGCAAAUUGGCGUGUGAUAUUUUACACCAUGUAACGCUAAAGGGUAUUGGCCCCAAGUUGUGAUCAGUAUUUCGGCUCCUUUGUGAUCAUAGAUUUAAGCAGUUGCCGUGAAGAUAUGCAGAGGAUAGCUUCAAUUGGAUAGUUUGAUAUUGUGUAGCACCAAAGGCAACCCAUGGUUUUGGUGCUCUUAGACGUACAGUAUGUUGCACAAAAGCAUGCUUGCUAGUGAUUGCUCUUUCUUAUUUUGACAUCAGAAUUUUCUAACCGUGGAAAACUUGGAGAAUCCAUCCGUCAGCUAAACAUUGUUCAGUAAGUUCUGAAGACUCCCUCAUCUACUUCAGCAUGUUUUGAUCCGCCCAAUCUCUAAUGUACCACUAGAUAGGUUUCAGAUGUUGCACCAGAUGCAAAACGUACAUGUCGGAGUUCCGUGUAGGCCGCUCAUUAAAGUCAAUUGAAAUUAUUGAACCGAAUAAGAGACUAUAUACAUGAGGCGUACACAGUUACCAUAAAUGUUGGAAAAGGGUAGUAAAGAGUCUUCUGUCGGUCGAGAGCGAUGGUUCCGAUGCUUUCGAUCCUACGUAUGCAGUAGAAAUGGAUUAUUGCUCAAGAAUUCCAGCAGCUCUAGCGUUAAAAUCACAUAUUUUUUCAAAAUUUGAUAAUUUCUGUGUUGAAGACGAGCACUUGUAAUCUGUCACUAACGGCUUCAUCGACACUGCGGACAAAUUCGGCCAGCGACGGCUUGGGAGUCGGCGAAUUCUGAUAUGCUUCUGUACGUGAGAUACAUCCCCAGACGAUGUGAAAAAUCGUUACCACCGAACAUGCAUACGAUUUGGGUUCGUGAUCUCAAAAUGACUAAAUCCGUGCUGGCCACGGAAGCGUCAGCUUCUGAAAGAAAAGACAACUUCCACAACCUCACAACUACUUCCUCGAUGGCCUCUGCUACCUAAUAAACGAAUCUUAUCCUACUUAAGUUCCUGGACAAAGCAUUUCACAUGUGUACUGCAGCGAAGACACGUGAGGCGGUGAAGGCAAAUCUACGUGAAGACAGGUAAGUGUGAACAUCUGAAACCUACCACAUUAGCACAGAGAGACAAAACGAUGCAAAAGAAUGGGACGUCUUUGUGCAGGGAGGAGCUGAGUUUUACAGCCCUGCCUUCUGUUAAUUUCAUAUCAAGAAUAAAAACAGGCAGUGGAGACGAGAUAAUCAUUUUCGGUAGUGUACAGCUGAGUUCAAAGGUGCUGUUAAAAGGAGAAAGACCUACGUCGUUUCCACAUAGAAUUUCAGACUGAGAAUGCGGUUCAGAGUGCAGGAAAGGGGCAGUAAACCAUGUGGGUAUCCAAAAUUGACUAUUCUGCGUCUUCUAUGAGAAGUGAUGUGACCUGAUAUACAAGGUGCGAAAAUGGAGAAGCACCCAACAAACUCAUCUAUAAUGUACACUUUCCCAUUGACUCCCUGAAGCAGAGUUACUUCGAAAAAAUCAGGGCAAUGGCUUUAAAUGUAGAGUGAGUUGGCGAAGACAAUACCGCGUCGUAUACUUUCACUUCCAAGCGCAAAUUUAUUUUCUAAGUCUGGAUUUCCAAUUGCUUGGGCAGCACUGCGUAGCUGAAAGAUUCAAGCCAUAAUUAAAAUUUAGGAACCAUGUUUAGCCACAAAUUAGAAGAGGGUGGAAGACGGGGACUCAAACUUGAAACCAGUCUUAAGUACAAGAACUAAAACGACGUUCCAAACAGUACAGUUCGACUGUUGGAACUGCAUAGCAGCAGUUUUCAGAGACAUACCUGGUUCAGGAACUCGUCAAGCCUGCGAGCAGCACGUAUGAUGCUACCUUCAAAAAUGUCGGUCAUCUCACAAAUUUCAGAGAACGAGGAACCCUUCAAUGUCACAAUAAAUACAAGUUAGAAACCAACCUACAAACAAAAGCUACACCGUAGUCGAUUGAAAAAUGCAUUACCUGCAGUCCAAAUUCGGCUUAACAAACAGAUCAAGUACCAAGAAAUUAAUGACAACGUGCAAACUGAUGGAUGAGACAUGAAAAUUCUUGUUCUAGAGUCGAAAUGCUGGAAUAUGGUCACAAAUAGGAUUGCAAACCUUUGACCAGCUAUAGAUGACAUCCAUCAAAUAUGGCUUGAAUGAUUCCGCAUAUUCUUCAACAUCAAUCUCCAGCUUGCACUCUUUUUGAAUCUGACAAAUCACCAAACAGAAUUAAAUCGUCGUAUUACAUUUGCACGAUUGACAGACACUAAUAAGAGUAGCGAAAUCAGAUACCAAAAGCUUCAAAAAGCCUAUCAAAAGCACAUUAGCAAAAUACACAUACCUCAGCAAGUUGUUUAGCUGUUUCCUUAAGCUUUUCUAGCGGAUGUGCAAGCUCAUUCGUCAAUCGUACUUGUUCAUUCGAUUUCUCAACUGGAAGAAAACAGCUUGCUAUAGCAACAACUUGAUGAUGAUCUAUGUCAUUAAACAAACCUGCUCCAAAAAAUGCAACGUUUUUAGGAAAUGAACACUAGAGAAACAAAAUAAUCAAUCAAAAGGUGCAAGGCGAAAAGAUGUUACCAUUGAACAUAAGCUCGGUUACAAGUAGCUCAUCGGCAGUAUCUAUAAGACAGGCUGCACGACCCUUUGUUUGCACCACGCCAUCACCAUUUAUAUGGCCAAGUCGUUUCAAUACCCUUGACCUAUUCUUCAAUUCUUCCCUAAAUUUUUGCAGCUGUGAAAGUAGGAAUCUAUGUGUAAGAUAACUUCAUAAUACAUUCAUUGUUCUCAACACAAUACAGUGCUUUGAGGCUAUUAGAACCAAAAGAACUGUACAAACUACGUGAAACAACUUCUCCAACAGGACAAACUGCUUGCCAUUUACAAGAGUAAAUAUUUUCUGUGUGCAAACCUGGGAUUCUCGCAUCCUAAGUUUCAACGCGUCAAUCUCGACCAUAAGUUCCGCCUUCCUUUGAAAAGAAGCAAAACAAUCUGCCUCUUUCUCUGACUACAGGAUUCAAAAACCUCAACGUUACCAACAGAUAGCCAUAACAGAAACACCGAAAUAAAAACGAAAUUACAUUAUUCGUCCUCCCAACUACAUCACUACCACAUCUGCAAACACGGAACAUCCCAUUUGUGAUCAUCGCAAGAAACCAAUAAAACUUGUACACAAUAAUUCCUAUGGUUUUCAAUCCAUACAUAUGUGAAUUUGUAAUGAAUGUUUUGUAGAUAACGACCAGUUUUUGACUUAAGGCAACAAUACAAGUGGUCAACAUAUAAAAAUGUCUUCUUUAAGCAUUUCCAUAAGCUCAGUAGAUAACACACCUGGAAAAGAGGGUGAGAGACCAGCUUCUUUUCUUCCACCUCAAUUUCCUUAACAAUCUUCAGAAAGUCUUCAUCAUCAAUGCCCAUAUCCUAUAAGUCAGAACCACAUAUUACAGAUAAGUGAUAAGGAUCCCUUGGAGCAAGGCAAACGAGGAGGUUUUGAACCAAAUAAAUUUCCGAAGUCCAUCCAGAUGUAACUACGGGUGGACAGAUAAAAAACUUAAGGGUUAGUUAAAUUACAAAAAUGCUAAAAUUAUAAGCAUUUAUUCCAUCCUAAAAAACGACUCACACUAUGUCAACCCCUUUUUCGGGACGAAAUCUCACCUCAACAGGAUCAAGCUUGGGAAAACCAUCAGGAAAACGACGUUCGAGUUCCUGAACAGCCAUUAGAACACUUUGUCGAGCCUCUGGAGGCCUUAGAUCCCGUGGAGCUGCAACUCUUAGAGUACUUAUUGCACAUAUCAGCGGCAUGCGUACUGGGACCUUCAUAACCACCCGUGCGAACAUUUAGAUUGGCAUUAAUUGCCAUCCGUGGAAUAACAAACUCUAAAUAGACGACUUAUAGGUUUCACUGAGGCAAGCAAACUAAAACAAAUAAGAAGACACUAAAGCACACACCCAAAAAAAGAUUUUACUUCAUUAUUAAAAUUAUAUUGUAUGCACACACAACAUAUUCAACAUCAAUGACGACUUCAAAUAAGUUAUUAUUGUAGCAGGAAGCAACAAAAACUCUCAUACCAACAUCAAUGCUAGUGAAAGCAGCAAGCCGUAACUCGCAAGAGCCUGAGAAAGUUAUCUUGUGACACAACUAGAAGCUCUUACCACAUGCAUUUCCCCUUUUUCUCCUGGAGGACAUGGUCUCGGUCUGGGCCGUUUCCCUUCUUGAAUUACUCCUGACGCGCAGUGCAGGAGAAUAUCUACUAUAUAGGAACUAGCUGGAUCGGUUGCCAACGCAGAAGAAAUUGUUCCUUGAUUGGAUGUAGGUUUUUUCACUACAUGUACGACCACUCCCCAACCCCACUCAUCACUUCCAUCCCUAAUUUUAACCUACACACAAAACAUGCAGGAUUAAAUUUCGCUUCGAAGCCUGACCAAGCGCUAUCAAAAUGUUUGCAAGCAAAGUAAGUCAAAAACACAUAGGUUCAUACCGCUAAAAUGUAUGCACAACCAAAACAGUACAUAACUCACAAUGCUUGAUUAACGACCAAAACUAAAAACUUUAGAUUCAGUAACUUGAAUCAUCUAGAGUGUUUAUUGAGAUGUACAGAAUGCAUGGGCAAAAACAUGUGAAUAAAAUAAAUAAAUAAAUAAAUUUUAUUUUUAAAUUUUAAAGAGAGAAGAAUGGAUCUAAAAAAGGAGAUGAAGUAGUACCAAUCGUCCAGGUUUCAUGAACAGCAGAACACGCUCAGGGCGCAGAACCUCUGCCAUCAUUUUCUUUUCCAGUUGAGCAAGUUUUAAUCUUAAAGAAUGGUACUCUGCCAUCGAUGACUGCAGUCAUAAUAACCAGAUCAAACAACCUCACUCUACAUAACAUGUCAAAUUCUUGAUCCAUGUACCUUGAAGGCUUCAUGGACUCCUUGCAACUUCAUUAAGGCAAUCUUUUAUCACAGAAAGUAUUCCCUACGAUAGAGCACCAGGACAGAAUUUUGCCCAAACCAGAUAGACAGAUAGAAAGCAAGACUGCUGGACUAACAUAUUCCACACAUGGAAAACUGUACACAUUCGCACUUCCUUAUUUGACAUACCUCUCCCGCAGAAUCGAUUUUCGCGACUUCAGCUUCCAGAGUUUUUAUGUUCUCUUCAACCUUGGGCAAUGCCUACAAACCAAACAUUACAGGUAAGUACAUCAUUUUGAAGCAUCACGUACGCCAUGACCAGAGAUUUCAAUCGUAACAGUUAACACACUGCUGCACGAAGGAAAAACUACAGCCAACAGAAAGGCCUAACAUACAACUAAAUCAAAAUCAAGGAUUACCUUGUCAUGCUGGAACUGGUGAAAUGAAUGACGAAUCACAUGCUCAGAAUUAAACUGUCCUUCAGCCCGACUCAUGAGAUUAAGAAGUGAGUAGUAACUGAGACGGAAUGUGCUAACUAAAGGAGCUGCAGUCCCUUGUAUCAUCUCUUGACAUGUUUUCAUUUCCAUCUGCACAAUUAACCACAAACUUUAGGUCCCAGUAGAAAGUUCUAGAUAAUAAUUCCAAGAUGCCAGUGAAAGAUAUACUACGGACAAAUCAGGAACAAAACCACCAAAACCGCAGAGGUCGUUUUAGGAAAGCUCUCCAACCUACUGUGACAAAAUAACUGGAUCCAUGACAUGCAAGAAGCUAACAAUGACAAGUCAUACCUGACUGUCUAUCAUGAUUAUACAAAUUCCACGCAAAUCCUUGCCUCGUCGUCCUGCUCGACCACUCAUCUGUUCCAACACAAUCAGCAUACGAUGAAUACGCACACAAACAUCCAACUGGAACCAAACAUAGAACAUGAAAAAAAUUUAGUAAAGCACACAAUAUUUCCACAUGAAGAGUGAAACGAAACCAAAAGUUUUCGCAGAAGUAACAUACGAGAAAAAACAAAUCUUUUCCUACCCAGGGUUUUAACCUCCACGUAGAACUGUAUCUUAUAUAUCACCAACGACCCAUAGUACAUAUCAUCGUAAGUUACACAGAAUCGAAAGGACCUGAAUGUAUUCUCCCGAUGACAUCCAUCGAUGGCUUUGCCCAUCCCAUUUGCGAACAUUCGUGAACACAACUGUCUUAGCUGGCAUAUUUAAUCCCAUAGCAAACUGAUACAUUGAGGUAGGUCAACAUUAGAAAGCAUCAGCAUGAAAGCUAACCUGAACAGUGACAAGCGUACAAGUAUACAGGCUACCAUCACCCAGGUGUAGAAAGUAUUGCAACAAAGGCUAGAGCAGUGGGCCAUAUAUGAUGAACAUAGUAGAGUUCAAUUAUAGAAUGAUGCACAAUCAUGUUGUCUCCAUGACUGACACCAAGGAAUUCAUGAUUCAAAAAAUAACAGUGAGCACAAUAGUCAAGAGAUUUUACAAUUCCAAACUAACAUAAGCGUAAUGUACACGAAUAUCAGCAACAUUAUGAAGUAUACGAAUACAAAGUGAAGCACUUACAGUUUCUGUAGCAAACAAUGCCUUGCAGAGGCCCUCCUGAAACAUAAGUUCAACAACCUCCUUGAGAAUAGGAAGAAGACCAGAAUGAUGAACACCAAUGCCUCGUUUCAACAGUGGCAAAAGAAGAUCGAUUGCCGGAAGACUUCGAUCUUCCUCACUAAGCACCUCAAUAGCUUUCUUAAAGAUGUCUUCGACGGCCUCUUUCUCUUCAUCAUUAUUAAAAUCCAGCUUUGACAUGGCGGUUGCAUAUUGUUCACAUUCUCGCCGACUGAAACUGAAGACAAUCACUGGCUGAAAUUUCCUCUCCAUUAUCAUCUGAAAAGCGAAGCCAACGAACGAAGUAGGAUAUUUGUAAUUUAUUAUUACAGAAAAGAUAAUAAGCGGCUGAAAACCAGAUCCCUUCUACUAAAACUUUACAUUGACAAUAGAGGGGCGCGACAACAUAGUAUGCACCUUGCCUGCCAGAACUAUUGUAGGUCAGAUAAGUAAUUCCAACCUUGAGAGCAACUCCAACCAAUUCAGACAGCACCAACAACGCAAGUUUAGCGUUUCCUUCCAACUCAUCGUAGUGCCAAUGAGCAAUCAUUGAAACUGAGGAAUACGCUUGUAGCACAAACCUCGUGUGCGUUCCUCAACCAUUUGAACAGAUUUACAAGUUUGUGAAAAACAAACAGCUCAAAGAAAAUUUACUGGAAUACCUUCACAGACUCAGACGAGUUGUGAUACCUUAACAAUUUUGCCGAUGUCUUGACUUGAGCCAGAUCCUUUGUCUCCUCCUCUGCCACCUCUUCCACCAACCCCACGCCCUCGUGCUCCACGCCCUCCACGGCCACCACGAGUGCUGGGAGGAUCUAUUUCAUUUCCACCAACUUCUUUCCUCUCAAAGGUCGCCUUUAGUUUAUUAAAAUUUUCUUCUUUAAAAUCCCCUUUCUCAUCCACAACAAGAUAGAGACCUGAACCGCCCAUAGGAAAAGCAUAAUGCUGCAAGGGCGUAGGACGAAAAUCUGUAUAUACUACAUGACAUGGCUGUUUGUGCAAGUAACAUAUCCAUUCCGCGAAUUCUGUGGCAUUAGACAUUGUGGCGGAGAGGAAAACCAUUUUAAUAGCGGGAGGAAGAAAAAUAAUGCUCUCUUCCCACACGACUCCUCGCUCUCGAUCACGCAUGUAAUGAAUCUCAUCAAAAAUAACCCAUGCAACCUCCCUCAAAACUUCUGAACCUUUGUAGAGCAUUCCUCGGAGGAUUUCUGUUGUCAUAACGAUGCAGGAAGCAUUUGGCGAGAUUGUUACAUCUCCUGUCAUUAGGCCUACAUCAGUAAAUUCCUCGCUCAACUCCCUGAAUUUCUGGUUGCUCAGAGCUUUCAGUGGAGAAGUGUAAAUAACUCUUUGCUUAUCACGAAAAGCCAUUGCAAUCGCAUACUCAGCAACAGCUGUUUUUCCUGCAGAGGUAUGAGCUGACACCAAUACUGAUUCAUCUCGCUCCAAACAAGCAACUGAAAUCUCCUGAAAAGGGUCGAGUGUAAAAGGAUAGCUCUUCGCUCUUGGACCUGUGUAGACAGGAUUGUCGAUUGUGCCAUGGAUGCUCUCAUCUUUAGAAGGCGUAAACCCUAAGGCAUGAUACAGUAAGAAGUCAAUAGAGAAACAAAUCUGUUCCAAACUAGCACCCUCUGUACCUAAGAAUGCUGCACAUAUGGACCAUUUCAAACAAGUAAAUGUAGAAUUACCAACACACAACUCGGAAAAAAGAAAAAAAAAAGGGGGGGGGGGGUGCCGAUGUUUCUGACCACGCACUGUAACGCGAGAACUGAACAACGAACCUACAUUGCCGCUAAGAAACCUCGGACUUAAACUGUACCCUUGACACAAAUUGCUUGCAGGACGGAAAAAGAAGAACAGAACGACAGUCGAUAUGUGAAUAAGUUUACAUUGAAAUAUUGAUAGAGGAAUAAAUUCAAGAACAUGCAAAGCACCAGGGAAUUAUUAAGCUCUUUAACCGAAGAAAACACAAAGCACCCUGGGUGGAAAAUGUAAAAUUUGUGUUACUAGGCAACAGCAUGAUCUGAAAACAGGAGCUAAGGCCAGGUUUAAACAUCAAAUGUCAGGAAUGAGCUGGGAAGAGACAAUUGAUACUGAGUUUGUGACUCUUUUCAAUUACCAAGCUACACAAGGGAAAAUAAUACUGUAGUAAGCAAGAAGGAUUGUCUUGACAAGUUAAACAGUGAUAGUUGUGAAACAAGCAGAGCACUGAAGUAAAAUGAGAACAAACUGUCAUACCUUAAACCCAAGGUUUUAACAUAUAUGUUCUAAGUAAGGAACCUUGAAGACGGGGUAACAGGAAGAGCUCAGAUAGCGGAAUCGCCACUGACCGUAACAGGAAAACAGUACUCAUGUCAAAAGACCUCACCGUCCAGCAAGGUUUAAAGAUUCUCAUGAAAGCUUAAAUCCUUUCAAAAUGUAGAAGUAUGCCAGCACAAAGCUGCUAGGAGUUAAUUUCGCCAUCAUGGCUAAAACUAGUGUGGAGAUCACAGAAAAAAUAAUCAAAAACCAAACAAUCAAAGAAAACUCAGAGCGAAACACAACCGGUGUCCACAUGUACUGACCUGGCGGAAGGGCAACCUCGUGAAUACACGACCUAAUAACACUACGUCGCUUCGCUUCAGGGGCUUCUUCGUCCGUUGCUUGAGCUGCGCCAUUAGUCACCGGCUCAGGAUUUUUUCUCUUCGCCGUAUCAUUCUCAGCCUCUACCGCGCCCGCCAUUUAAAACGUCCGCCUCUCGAUUCCGAAUUAUUCUACGUGCAAACAACCAUGCAACAUCCAGCUGAAUACCCGAAACGAAACCAUACGCGUUCUACCCUCUCUACAACCAAAAGCAUCGCAACCAAAAGCAUCGCAAAAGCUACAACUCACCUGAAAAUCAUGAAAUGUCUCCGGAAAAAUCCACCUCAGGAAGACAGUCGUUGCUGCCAAUCAUUCAAACCUCCGGACCGCCAAACAACUACACACCUAUACGAUCCCAGCACACCAUGAAACCGAGCCAACCUCGGAGCUCCGGAAGCGCUGAAGACGGAAAUUAGGGCUUAAGCUUCUCUCCGCGCAUUCGCUCAGACGUGACUGCAGUUUGGGAACAACAAGAUACCACCGCGUCUCGAUUGAGAACCGGCCCUCGUUUUACCCGCGUCGACCGGUGGUAAUUUUCAGGUCGGGAUCGUGGAUAUCAAACCAAUGUUCUCACAUGCAUGCCAGGUCCAGUUUGUUUCAAUCCCAGGUGCUUCCUUUACUUGGCUAACAAAACAAUCCAAAUUACGAGAUUAAUUUCUCACAAGUUGGUGAUUUUAUACUACUACGUAAAUUUAAUUUUUACGACCUUUCAUGAAAAAAUUAAUUUCUUGAAAUUUGAUUCUUUAAAUUGCAUUGAACCGUGCUUGAAACACAAAAGCUUUAAUAGAUCUGAUUUUAACAGCCAAGUUGAUGCUUCGUAUGCUUAUUAGUCAAGUCAACUAAAAGUAAAAUUCAACUCAAACUAAAAUUAAAGUCAUGAAUUCUGACGUAAAAUGUUUUUUUAAAUAUGAGAGUAAUGGCAAACUGUAGUCUUCAUAAGUUGAGGUCGACAAAAAAAAAAUUAAAUCUCUGAACUCACUCAUGGUGAAGAUUCUCGCAUAUAUAUAUAUAUAUAUAUAUGUACACCACCUUCCAAUGUCAAAGUUUCACCAAAUCAACAUUUAUAAACAAAAUAGAUGACUAAAACUGAGAGGACAUGGUGGCAAAGGUGAAAUGAGCAACCAUUACACUGCUGAUGAGUUUUGUAUUCCUACAUUAUGUACUCAUGAUGCUGCUUUUAGUUGUACAUCCGUACUUAAAAACUAUAUACUUAAAAGUAGAAUGAGAUAAAUUCUAGUUGGAAGUAAUAAAGUUGCUGCAAAAAAAAUUCUCUUUUCACUAAAUUUUUCUAAAAAAACUUGUUCAAAAAUAUUUUUCAUGUAAUGCCAAGUCCAUCAAUAAGCAGAAUUCUUCUCUUGUUGUUAUUAUUGUUAUAUCAAUUCAUUAAAAAUAUUAUUAUUUAAUUAAGAUAGACUUAGAAAAGCAUUCAAUUUAUUUUUAUUUUUGUAAAAUUUGAAUUAAGUGUCGAAUAAAGUUUUAGUAACAAUUCUAUGGUAAUGAAAAAUUAAUAAUUAAAUGUAAAACAAAUUCUACGUAAAUCCCGAUUUUUUAAAAAAAUAUUAAAUUAUGAUAUUAGCAUUUCCAUAAUGUAAACAUUGAAUAUCUAAUAGAUUUCUAAAAACUAAAGUUUUUGCAGAACACAAUCUUAAUACACUUGGUAUUUCUUUAUUAAUAAUACAUUACAUUGCACAAAGCUCCUUUAUGUCAUCUUCUAAGUAUCUACAAGCAAGAAUUGGAAUAUAAAUUGAGGAGUAAUAUACAUUAUAAUAAUUUUAAAGACCUUUAAAGAUAAUAGAACAUUAAACAUAGAUUAAAAGUAAGUACAAAGAUGAUAAUUUUCUCAGAAAAAAUUAAAAUUAUACAUUUAUUCAACAAUAUAAUCUUUACCACAACGCAUAAAUAUUGUCUGAUAUUAUUUCUCAAAAUUGUACUAUUUUUUUUCUUGUGAGAGAUUUUAUAAAGAAAAAAUCAUGUAUUUAUGCUCAUUAUAGAUAUACUUGUAAAGGUAUUUCACAAUAUUCAUUAUAAAAAAAAGCUCAAAAUUUACAUGGCAAUUAAAUAUUUCUUUAAAAAUAGAAGUAUAAUGAAUUAUCUAUCAUUUGUUUAUAGUUUAUUCUACUUUUAUAUUAUUUUCAUUAUUUUUUGUAGUAAAAUAGAUUUUUAUUUCUAAAUUUUGAAGCAUUGUCUUAAAAUUCUUAAAAUUGUCAAUUUUAACAUCUGUGGUCUUUUAUGUAUAAAUUAACUAACUUAAGAUGUUAGCACGACUUGUAUACUCUGCAAUUUGUUACUACAGUACAGAUGUUGGCGUGAGUCUCAAAAUUGGAAAAAAAUUUGAAAUAAAAAGUUUAUAACAAGAUAUAUUUUUAGAUUUAUUAUCUUGGCAUAUGUCUAUAAAGAAGUAAUCAUGCAACAAUCUGUAUUUCCAAAAUAUCCCACAAUAUUCCACAAUAAUUAAUAUAGCCAUCGUCAAGUUCACAAAAAAGUAAGAAAUACAAUGUGUGAUCCAUUGCACAUGUCUAUAUUGUUUUAUUAGGUUAGGAAUCUCUAUCUAUUCUUUUAUUUUUCUUAGUUGUUAGUGUCAAUAUCCUCUAUAAUUUUAAUUCUUUUAUAGCACAUAGUUAAAUUUUGGUCAUAUUUUUUAUGUAGACAUAAAAUAGAAUAUACUAAGGGAUCAUAUAUAUAUCAUAAGGAAUAAUUAUUGAAUAAAAAAACAUAAAUAUCUUUAUGAAUAUUUGCUAACAUUUUUUUUUAUUUUGCUAUUGAAAACAAAAAGAAAAAAUACAAAUACAAAUAGAUCUAGUGAAUAAAAUAUUUAUUGUUGCUAAUAAAAUUGUUGAUUAGUCUUUAUUUGCUCAAAAUAAUAUAUGGUAAUAAAACUAAUUUUAUUUUGUAUUUAUGACAAUAAUUAUUUAACUCUUUGAAAAAACCAUUUCUUACUAUUACACUCAUUACACUUUUUUUUAUUUUUUAUUUCAAAAUGUUAAAUGUUUGUCUUCUAAAUGUAGAAAAUUAAAAAGAGUUUGCACAAAAAAAUCAUCAACAAUAAUGUAAUGUAUAUUGUAGAGAUUGUGACAGAGUUAAUGUUUAAGAUUUAAUACAAGAAUUUGAAACCUUUAAAAAAAAAACAUUAUUCUUCUACUUGUUGCUCCUCAUCUUCUUCCAUGUGGUAAUGUGCUUUGCAGUCACAAGCUUAUUAUAAUUUUUUGCAACUAUUAUUUCCACCUACCAAUUGAUAAUUCACAUUAUGAACAAUAUGUAAUGGAGUAGAUGCAUGGUCUAUUAUUAAUUCUUAUAUGCAAAUCUCAAAUAUUAAUAAUAUCUAUAAAAAAUCUAACUAAAAAGACUAUUAAAAAAACACAACAAUUGCAAUACCAUGACACUAUUUAAGAAAUUGUAAAAAUAUGCAUUAUUGAUACAACUCUGUAAUACUUGUGAUUUUAUUUUUGGUUUGAUAUAAAUGAAUAAGGAAGCAAUUAAACAAGCAUCUAAAAUGAAAGCUUAUAUUAACACUUAUAUAUUGAUCUAAUACAUUUUUUGAAUGAAAGUUGGUGAUGAAUGGAUAUUUGUCUUUUUGAAGGAUAAAAAAACAUAGUUGUAAACAACUUUAACUGUAAUAAAGAAAAAUGAAAAUAAAAAUUAUAAAGAUGUUUGCUAUUUAUGUAUUCAAUAACAAAGGUCUUUGUUGACACUUACAUGGUUAUGAUUCUAAUUAUAUUGCAUAAAAUAGAAUCUAUACACAACUUAUGAUAUAUUAAUCAAGGUUACUUCCAGAGAUAUUUUUAUUUAUUUUCUUCUGUUCUUGCUGAUUAACUUUAAAACGUCUGCUAAUUUUAAUAGAAAGAAAUUCAUUUAUAUAACAAUUUCUGAAUCAAACUCGAGUUUGAAAAAUAAAACUAAUUAUUCAUCUAUAUUUAAACAUAUAUAUAGUAUGUGCAUCCAUUUAACUCGAAGAGCUGAGUAGUCGAAUACUUUAAAGUAACGACACAACUAACUUCAUGAUCCAGAAAUAUCGAUAAGGACACGCGUCGAGCGAUGGUGGUGAGCCACAAAGCAAGAUGAAAUGGCAACCAUGAGGGGGGGUCGCAGCCAACCGGCGGCGGCCACUUGGGCAACGCAGUGGCAAGUCCAAGUGGCACGGCGGCAGUGGCCAAAUCCCUUUUUGUUGUCGUCGAAGAGCGAAGAAGACGAACAAGAAGAAGAAGAAUGGCCUCAUGAAUUCGACAGACAGCUCGAGAAUUCAGCCAACAAUUGGGAAGAAAAGUGCGUGGCGCGUAUCAAGACGGCCAGUGGGUGCGUCGCAACGCAUUGCUGAGGGGCGUCGGAAAGAGUGUGGCAGGGUUGGCGAAAAAGACGAACACAAGAAAGAAAAAAAGGAGAAUCAGUCAACUGCGUUCGACAGCACAGUAUCUCACAAGUGGUCGAGAUCAUAUGCCAGAUGUUUAAAAGCUGGCUGCGUAGUUGUGAUGUUGAUGCAUCGUGGUGGUCACAUGUAUACUCUCCUGGGUUCGGGUUUGAUGGGGCCGGGCUAUCCUGUGGUGGUGGGAGUGGAAGAGUGUGGAUGACGAACUCUGGUUAGUAGUUUUGGUGACCAGGCGUAUUAGAUUUUAGUGGUGUUUCUGCUACUGGGUGCAAACUUUGACGCGGAGAGCGAGAGAGAGAGAGAGAUAGAGAAAGAGCUCGAGGGAUGGGCUAUUUGUGAACACUCGGUAAGAGAAUUUGAUGAUCAGGUAAGAGUUUGGUUUGGAGGAAGCUGCCGGAUGGUGUUUUUUUGCUGAUUCUGUGGAGUUCAUUGACUGCAUUUACUUUGAGAGGAGGCACUCUCAUGUUGGGUUGAGCUCCAAUUUUUGUUUUGUUUUUGUUUAGGCGAGGUUUUUCUUGGGGUUGGCGUGUUCGUUUACUUAAUAGCAAUUUUGGUAGCAAUUUGAUGGCUAUUUGGUGUCCCUUUGGAGCUAGUUUUCUCUGAUAGAGUACUACGUACGUCAAAAAAUGAAAAUAAAACAAAAAUUAGGUGUGUUAAUUGUUGUCUCCCUGGAAUGUUUUCUGAGAGCGUGUGCUAGUGAUUCGACAGUCGUUACGAGGCACGUGCAUUUUUCAUUUUCCACGGUCGGAAGACGAAAGGGCAGUAGUUUUACACCAAGAGUUCGUACUUUUACACAAUUCUGUAUGCACGAACUUACGUAGAGAUAGUAAAGAAAUUUGAUGGAGUUCUUGUAAUACAGAACUCUAUUGCUGUCCGCCACUCGCUCGUUCGACUGUGUGGUACAUGGUGGAGGGCCUAAGUAAUGUCAGAGACGUUUGGAUUUAUUCUCGGCCGUCGCAACAAGGUUCACUGAUGUAAUUGCCUUCCUUCCUACCGUCUACGAACCCUAAACUUAACAGCCCAUCCUUCGCAUGAAUUGUAGAUGAAUCCAACUGCUGCCCGGCAUCCAGUACCAUAAGAAACUCCAGUACAUGAUUCUGUGGAACUCAUUGAUGAUCGUUGCCUUUUAUUGACAGGAAAUGCUCAUUGAAGUUUAAAGGUGUACGAAAGUGGAUCGAACUCUCAGCAGCGAGCAUUGAGCUUCUGUUACUUCGAGUGUUUGUAAGAGCACUGGUGUCUUCGGAGCAAUUUUUGAAAAAAAUCGAGCUGAUUUAGGGUGGGUUUGAGGAUACAUUUAGGGACUAAAUUUACGUGAAUGUAAAGAAUUUAUGUUACAAGAAUGAUUUUGGUGCUGCAUUUGUUGAGAAUAGUUACAAUGUUGUAGCUCAUUUCGUUCUACAGUCACAUCGAUGAUUGCCUUUUAUAGUUAUUUCAUGAAAUAAUUUAGCGCAAUUUUUCAUUUCAGGUAUUUCUCUUCCGAGGGUUCAAGAUGUUAGGAGCAGGAAGGAAGAAUCCUCAAGCAGUGGGGCUUGCAGGGGUAGGUAGUCAAGUCCAACAUCGAUUUUUACGAAAAGAUUCUUCUUCAAAGCCGUUAUACGGAUUCUUACGGCUCUGCCAAUAUCAUGACGAUUUUUCUACUGGGAGAGUUAGCGUCAGUAAUAAUCCUAGGCUUGCGCAAGCAAAUCUUAGGAGAAGGCCUCAGGGUAGGAAUUUGACAAGCUCGCUACGAGAGAGUCGUAUUGCCUGCAGCUCUGAGUCCAAUUAUACCAAUGUUUUUAGUGACGUUCCAAUUGAAGUCGUAAAAUGUCUUGAAGAAGCUGAAAAUCAGUCUCUCAAGGCGGUGCAAGGAGGAGAAUCACAACCAAAGAAGCACGAGACGUCUACUCUUGAAGCUGGGACCAUUGUUAGUUCUGUCUCAACGGCACUUGAAGGGAUAUGGACUGAGGAAGAUACAAAAAAUGACCAACUUUGCUCUAUGGAGCCAGAGGUACUCAUGGCCGCUGCCGCUAAGGUUGCAGAAGCCUUGGAAAAAGAGGAGGAGGAUCAACCAGGUCAAAUGUAUUUCCACAUGCUGGAGCCUGCCUCUCCUGUAGCAGCCCCUGUUAUGAUCAGAGAUUUCAGUGAGACGAUAGAAUCGUCGGACGAUGAAGAGGAAGUGGUAGGAUUUAUGACUCAUGUAGAAGAAAAAGAGUAUAUCGCCCCUCCCGAACCUUCUGUUCUGGAAGAAGGGUCUAUAAAUGCUGCGGUAGACGUCAAGCAGCCGGAGGUUGUGAUACCUGAAGAAGAGGAGCACUUGCUAGAACCUGGAGCAGUUGCAUCAGCUCUUAUGGUCAAAGAAGUAGCAGACGCUUUGAAAACUGUGGAAGGAGAUAAAUUGUUAGCUCCUGUUCAUGAAAAGGAGUCUGAUAACGUUGCAGUUCAAGACCCCGAAGAAAAAUCGCUAAUGGAGCAGCUGAAAGAAAUUAUUGUAUUUGCUGGGCCUGCUCUCGGUAUUUGGCUAUCAGGCCCGAUUAUGGGAAUUAUCGACACGUCCGUAAUUGGUAACAGUAGUUCUUUGGAGCUUGCUGCUCUUGGUAAGUAUAAGGAUGGAAAUAUUCUUCUGCUUGUCGAGCAUUGACCGAAUUUCCUGCUCUUGUCUGGAGACAUGCGUUUGAAAGUUCUUUGCAGUAUAAUUAAUGGCAUUACGUAACAUUACCUCCAGUUCUAAAUGAAAGCUUACCAAGUUACUUCCCGCAGGAGAGAACACAACAUUCUUGUAAAUGUUUGCGUGCACAGUUUAAAUUGAAGCUUUCAAAGUAGAGCUGUUUGAGAGGAUCGUUAUGCUCGCAGAUUGGUGUUGUGGUAUUCAAGUCCUCUAGUGAAAGUUUGGUUACAUGGGCUCUUGGGGUUUGUUUGCAGGUCCAGGUACAGUUCUUUGUGAUCAAGUAUGUUACAUAUUCAUGUUCCUCUCGGUGGCGACCUCCAAUUUGAUCGCCACGUCUCUAGCUCAGAAAGUAACAUUUUCCCGAACCUUUCAGUUCACUCGUGCUGUUCUUCUCUAGAUUGAGAUAACUUAAAAGUUUGCUCAUUUCUUAGCUAUACUGUGUGACGAUACAAUACAUUAAAUCCCUGACUUUUGGAUUUCUUGUAGAACAAAGAGGAGGCAAAGCACCAUCUAUCAAGGAUGCUGUUUUUAGCCUUGGCCUUCGGAAUGGGCUUGCUUGUUGCUACAGAAGUUUUUGUCACGCAAUUACUACAAGGUGAGUAGCUUCUUAUCACUCGCAUGUCAUCACUUUUUGGUCCAUUGUGGUGAUCUUUGAAUUCGUAUUUGCAGCAUUAUGAGGUGGAACAAUAAAAGUUGGUUUGGAAGGCCAUCUUUGUCCCAUUAGUGACUGAGUAUUUGGAACAUUGUCCAGCUUUUGUUGGGGCUCAGAAUUACGAUUUGAUACCAGCAGCAAAAGUGUAUGUUCAGGUAAUAAACAAGUCACACUUGAGAAUUUAUGAACUUCGCUAGGGGCAGGUAUGCCAGGUAGAGCCAAAUAGUUGUGGGUUAACAUACACGUUUCUAGUCCACUUGAAGUUCUCUCAUCGUGAACAUUUAAAUCUUAUUGUGAGCAUUUAAUUAUGCAGAUUCGAGCUCUGGCAUGGCCUGCAGUGCUUGUUAGUUUGGUGGCUCAGAGUGCCAGCCUUGGAAUGAUGGAUUCAAAAACCCCGCUGAAGGUGCUGGUAAUCGGAAGUAUGUGCAACCUGGUCGGAGAUAUCGCACUUUGCUCAUUCCUAGGCUAUGGUAUCGCAGGGGCAGCAUGGGCUACUAUUGCUUCUCAGGUUCGUUCUAACUUUUGCAGAUGUGUACAAAAUAUUUUCUUCUCGUUUUUUAUGAAUUGUUUGUCCAAAUAUACAUGUUAUUCAAGGUUUAUUACCCCUUUUAACUUCUUCAAAAUGUAAGGAAGAUUUUAACGAGGAGAUUAUCCCUAGUGAGCAAGUUGGCAUAUAAAGCCUAAGUUGUGCACCCACUCAAAAUACAUCAGUGGGUUUGUAUUCCAGUAUGUGGCAGGAAUUCUGAUGGCUCUGUCACUUAGUAACAAGGGCUACAGCCCUUUUGAUAUAAAAGCACCUUCUCUUAAAGAGCUAGUUGACGUUGCAAAACUUACCGCCCCGCUACUUCUAUCCAUGAUAUCGAAGGUAGGCGGCAAAUCUUGAUGCCAUUCAGCAGAUGUUAUUCCAAUUCAGUUUUGCCUUCAUUGUGUUUGUUUUCUUUAGGUUGAAACGCACAAGAAUGUUGACAGCAAUUAAAGUUGUAAAUCCUUCUGUCAGGUGCUUAAAUCUCUUGCAGUUUAUGGUUUUUUUUAACUUCAAUAUAUAUAUAUAUAUAUAUAUAUAUAUAUAUUUGUAUUUGAAUUUUUUCUUGCAGGUGGCAUUUUACACAUUGGUCACAUUUUUGGCUACUUCUCUAGGAGCUGUUACGAUUGCGGCUCAUCAGGUGACUGCCGAUUCUCGCUCAACUGCCACGGCAUGGAGUUGAUUUUACUUCUGAAUUUUCUUACUUUAUUCAUUUCAUUUUUACAUUUUAUUUUUAUUUAAAAUUUUUUUAUAUUGGUUUCUGUUUCUUUUGUCCAGUUGAAAGCAACAAACACUUAAAAUGAUCUUGCUUUUCAUAUUCUACCCGUGCCAAGGAUACUGAGAACUAGCACACUAAUAAGCGGAUCUCUGUUGCAUAUGGUCUAACAGGUUAUGGUUGGAAUUUAUGGCCUUUGUGCUGUGUGGGGAGAACCUCUUGCUCAAACUGCGCAGUCCUUCAUGCCUCGUCUCAUGUAUGGUUCGCAGAAGAAUUUGAAGCAGGUGAUUCAUCUGCUCUACAGCUUUCUUAGGGAAGUUGGGUAAUUUGCCAGUGUCAUUGGCAUAUCAAUAGUUCCUACUAAUUCCAAUUCAUAAGCUUUUUUCUUUUCCUCCGCAGCCUACCUGGUUGCAUUGUAUUUUAUUUCAAGUGAAGAUUGACAUUUUUUUUGGUUUUUGCUCUUCACAUCAGGCACGGAAGCUUCUCAAACAGCUCAUGACUAUAGGACUGGUUGUUGGAACCGUCGUUGGUCUAAUAGCAGUUUCUAUACCCUGGAUUUGUCCCCAAGUCUUUACCAAAGACACUGCAAUCAUAUCACAGGUUUGAUGUCUAUUACUGCUUUAAUUUGUUUCGAGUUAUGGAUGUGUUUUGAUCAAACCAUGAUUUCGUGUUUGAGGCUACUUUGUCUAUUUGAAGACGUCAAGGUAAUACAGACGAAUGAAACAAGAAAAAACACAAUAUUCUACACUUCUGCAUGAUUUCUCUUUGCAUUUUCACAUCCAUGUGCCGCUUCUGAAGUAAAAAUACUUAAUUGUGUUAAUUUUUUAAAAUUAUUGUCCAGAUGCGAGGAAUAACAAUACCUUUCAUAGUCAGCACGAUUUCAUGUCCCCCAACUUUGUCUUUGGAAGGAACUCUACUGGUAAUGUUCCUUGCUUCCUGGCUUCUUUAUACCUCACGCAUACUUAUACUUCAGUUCUGUGAUGAGAACUGUACAAAUUUGACAAACUGAAUCACAAACUGUUUUGCAGGCUGGUAGGGACUUUAGAUUCUUGAGUCUUAGUAUGACCUCUUGCUUCAUCGGCGGCACCAUCAUGCUCCUGGUGCGUAGGAUUUCUUUUCCACUUCUAAUAUCCAGCUUAACUGUCUUAUAACAUACCUAAUUUACAUACGCUCGCCUUUUCAACAUGGGUCUACAGACACUACAUUUCUUCUUGGUCAAGGAAUUCUCAAUAUUGGAAUGUCUCAAUAUUCUAUUUCAUGUGUAUUAAAACAACACACUUGCGAACCAGUAAAGCCCUGGUGACAAAUUUAAUGUACCAUGGAGUACGAUUCGUGUAUGCAGGCCGCUAAAUCGCUAGGAUUUGGACUUCUAGGAAGUUGGUGGACACUAGCUUCCUUCCAAUGGGUAAGUUGUUCCAUCUACUAUUGAUGUGGAGCAAGAAUGUCUCCUAGCUAAAUUGAUUGUGUUAUCUGAGAAACUCUUCGUGUAAAGAAGUGCGCUAACGGUCGCAAUACUUUCAACUGGCAGGCACGCUUCAUCUUCGCCUACAUUCGCCUCAAGUCUGCAAAAAGCAUUUUGAGUGACAAUUCUCCCCUGCAAGUAGCAGCUUGAAGACAAACUCUUAUUAUUGCAACAUUUCUAAUGAAAUGAUAUCAUUAACUUCGAGGGCACUUCUCAACAAAACAUACUCAACUCGGCUUGUUCAUUAAAUCUCUGAGCUAUUAAAUGUAUAUAGUGAAGCUGAUGUAUUUAUAUGCUAUAAACGCAUGUAUUUUCAGUGUUGUUAGGCACUAGCGAUCAGCAAUGCGGUUAGCAUGAUGUUCUUUAUGUUUGUACACUCAUUUUAAAGAUUCUUGCAUGCAAUUGAAGCCAUCACGGCAGCUAUUGGAAUCUCAACAUUGUGUUUACAUCUGGUGGAUUUCAGCUCAAUUAGACUUGUAGCAUUGUAAUUGUAGCAUUGUUAGUGACUUUGUAAAAGUAAAAAAUAAUGAUUCAUCAUUAGAACUAGCUACAAAAAAAAGUUAAAGAUAUGCAAUAUAAAUCUAAAAAUUAGUAAUUAAUGUGACGAUUGUUUUUUACUUGUUAAAUAAAUUAACAAAUUUUAUUUUAAGUUUUAACGAACAUUUUUGAUAAAAUCAUUGUUCUACAAAAUAAUUUUAAUAAAAGGCUUUUGAGUUAAAAAAAUAAAACAAUGUACCUAUAUUUAUCAUAGUGUUAAUUAAACAUAUUUGUGAAUAAUUAUUUAGAAACUAAAGAAACUUGAAUAAGUAUUAAAAUUUAAGAAAAGGUUUGCUAAGACUAAAGUAGUCUUAAUCUUCCUUUUUUGUAUACUAGCAUACAAAAAUACUAUGUAGAGGUUUUAAAAUAAUCAUAAAGUUUUCUAAGUGUCUAUUUUGUAAUAACUUUUUUUUGUAACUUUUUAGACAUUAUUUUUUUAUACUAAAUUUCUAAAGCUAUACAAUACAUCCAAAGACAUGUUUUGAUUGGAUUUGUAUUUAAAAAUCUUCUCUGAUGUUUUUUUAAAGAAGAUAUUUUAUAGUUAAUCUAUCUCUAUUUAUUUUUAUUUAUUUAAAUAAUAUAGAUAUCUAUUUAUCUUCAAUAUAAUUAAUGAUAUCCGUAUAUAAUAAAAAAAGAGAAUAUAAUAUACUAUCAAAAGAAUGUAGUUGGAAAAAUAAUAAAAAUAAUUAUUAAUCAAAAAUUAUAAUAAAUUAUAUUUAAGUAUAUGAUCAAAAAAUAAUAAUAAAUAAAAAUUCAAAUCUUAUAAAAAAGUUUAAAAUUUCAAAAACAAAGAAUAAUAAUAAUAAUAAUAAUAAUAAUAAAGUAUUUCUAUAAAAAAAAUAUUUAUACAAAUUUAAAACAUGAUUUAGAAAGAAAUCUAAUCAUAAAUAAAUAAAUAAUCAAACUCAAAUUAAAAUUUACAAUCAUUAUAAAGUAAUAAAAAAUAUGAAAUUGCUUAAUUUAUAUGGCAAUUAUGUCAAGGUUGAUAUAUCUUAAUAAACCUAAGUUAGCCAAAAAUACGAAGUUGUCCAAUUUGUUUAGUAAUGAUAUCAAAGUUGAGCACUCCAACAUAUCUAAGGUAGUCAAGGAUGUGAAAUUGCUGAAUUUCUUUAGGAAUGAUAUGAAGCUUAAGUAAUCCAACAUGUCCAAGAUAGUCAAAAAUGUAAAGUUGAAUUCUUUUGGUAAUAAUAUCAAGCUUGAGCACCACAAUAUAUCUAAGGUAAUUAAAGAUGUGAAGUGGCUUAAUUCAUUUGGCAAUGAUGUCAAACUUGAGCACUUCUUUACAUUUAAGGUAAUCAAAGAUGAAAGGUGGUCCAAUUCAUUUAGUAAUGAUGUCAAACUUGAGCACUCCUUUACAUUUAAGGUAGUUAAGGAUGUAAGGUGGCUCAAUUCAUUUGGCAAUAUUAUCAAGCUUGAGCACCACAAUAUGUCUAAGGUAAUUAAAGAUGUGAGGUGGUUUAAUUUAUUUGGCAAUGAUGUCAAACUUGAGCUCUUUAAUAUAUCUAAGUUAGUCAAAGCUAUGAGGUUGCCUAAUGCAUUUGGCAAUGAUAUCAAACUUAAGCAUUCCGUCAUAAACAAGGUAGUUAUAGUUAUGAAAUUACCUAUUUUACUUGGCAAGGAUGUCAACCUUGAACGCUGACAAAUAUUAAGAUUUCUCAAAGAUAUUAGACUACUUAUUGCCUUUGGCAAUGUUGCAAACUUCCUGCAAUUGUUUAAAUUGAGCACUUUCAAUGAUUUUAAAUUUUCUAAUUUAUUUAGUAAUAUAAUUAAGUUUAAACAUCCUUCUAAAUAAAAUUCAAUAAUGUAUCCAUUUCAAAGAAUGAUUUUGGAUUUUUAUUAUUUUUUUAAUGAAAAUACAAAUUUUUAAUUAUUACUCAUUUAAGGUUUUAAAAUUUUUGAAAAUAUCUUUGUCAAUUAGCAUAUGUAUUAUUCUGUCUAAUAUUUUUUGUACCUUGCAUAUAAAUGAUAUAUAUAGCAAGAAAUCUUUUAAAUUGAUAAAAUAUUUUGUCAACUUAAAAAACAUAUGUAAUCUUUUUAAGCCAUUUUUUGAUAUAAAAUCAUCAAUAUUAUAGCUUAAUAAUUGAAGUGAUGAAAAAUAAGUACUUUUAGUUUUAUUAAAUUUGAUAUAUAGAUUUUUAUUUAAAUUUUUAUAAUACAACCUUUCUAACUAUAAAACAACAUAUUUUACCUACAAAACAUUUAGAAUAUUUAUACUAACAAAAAACUUAAGAAAUGUUAAAUUUUAUAAUAAUAAAAUAAAAUAAAUCUAUUAAAAUUAUUUUUAUAUCAAUAUACUUAUUAAAAUAAUAAUAAUAUCUAAAUGAUAUGAAAAUGCCAUAUUUCUAUCUUUUAAAUUUCAAAAAGUUUUUAUAUCAUUAUAAAUUAUCUACUUUUUAUUUCAAUAAUAAUUACAUGCAUUAUCUUUUUUAAAAUUUUAUGAAAUGACUCUACUUUCAUGGUCCUCAAUUGUAUUUCUUUAAAAUUCAUUUUGGUUUCAACAAUCUUUCUACCUAUCUCUUAUAGUUGAACAUGAGCUCUCAUAAUUCUAUCAUUGUCUAUUUUUACUAAUGAUUUAUUUAUCAAUAUAUCCAAUAUAAAUUCCACUUCUUCUUCUAAUAUCUUUUUCUUGUUGUUAGUCCAUAUUUUCAAUGUCUUUUCUUUCAACAUGCAAUCAAGAUACACAUCAUUACAAAAGAAAUAACAUGUGUCUAAGAACUUAUUCAUUUCUUCAACUUUCAAGUUGUCAAAACUUAUUUUUAAUGUAUUCCAAAUCUUAUAGUCACUAUUUUUUCCAUCUCCAUCCAACUCACUUCUUCUUUUU
RNAcentral lists this long non-coding RNA (70568 nucleotides) under Physcomitrium patens. RNAcentral describes it as "long non-coding RNA (PPAT_LNC006347)". The stretch from base 12917 to 13099 matches the Rfam family "MIR1031 microRNA precursor family". The record is from RNAcentral. Lineage: Eukaryota; Viridiplantae; Streptophyta; Bryopsida; Funariales; Funariaceae.